Molecule: long non-coding RNA, 70332 nt
Filed under: Coffea arabica (coffee)
Lineage: Eukaryota; Viridiplantae; Streptophyta; Magnoliopsida; Gentianales; Rubiaceae
Description: long non-coding RNA (CARA_LNC003219)
Source: RNAcentral
UUUUUUUUUUUUUUAUUUGACAAGUCUCAGCGUCCGCCGCGCACCCUUUUACUUCCUUUCUUGACAACCAUAGUCACUGACCUCACCGCCGUUAGCAUUGAGUCUAUCUCACUAACGUGCGUGUUUUCAUCCUACCGCCGUUAGCAUCGAGUCUAUCUCACUAACGUGCGUGUUUUCAUUCAACCGCAGUUAGCAUCGAGUCUAUCUCACUAACGUGCGUGUUUUACUUCAACCGCCGUUAGCAUCGAGUCUAUCUCACUAAUGUGCGUGUUUUCAUCCUACCGCCAUUAGCAUCGAGUCUAUCUCACUAACGUGCGUGUUUUACUUCAACCGCAGUUAGCAUCGAGUCUAUCUCACUAAUGUGCGUGUUUUACUUCAACCGCCGUUAGCAUCGAGUCAAGCUCACUAACGUGCGUGUUUUCAUCCUACCGCCGUUAGCAUCGAGUCUAUCUCACUAACGUGCGUGUUUUCAUCCUACCACCGUUAGCAUCGAGUCCAUCUCACUAACGUGUGUGUUUCAUCCUGCCACCGUUAGCAUCGAGUCUAUCUCACUAACGCGUGUGUUUUAUUCUAUCCUCGGCAGGACCGGGUUCUAUCCCGCUGACCGCUUAGAUCACGUUGGGCCUGGACUUCGUGCCGCCAACUUCACAACAUCCCGUUGAACCUGGAUUUCGUGCCGCCAACAUUUCAUUGGGCAGGCUCGGGUUUAAUCCCACUGACCAAAUUCAUUACACUGGGGCAAAUUAUUUCGAAAAAUCUCUCUCAGUCAGGAAAAAUCAAAAAAAAAAUCAAAAAAAAAAAAUCAAUCAAAAAAAUCAAAAAUCAAAAAAUCAAAGUCAAAAAUCAAAUCAAGUUCAUCACGGCAGGCUCGGGUUUGAUCCCACUGUCCGAUGGUCGAGACAUUUCAUUUUCAUUGCUACUGGAGUUGGGUUUGUCCCGCCAGUAAGCAUUUCAUUUUCAUAGCCACUAGCCGUGGGUCAGUCCCACUAGUGAGCACAGUCCCGUUUAAUUCCUGUUCGGGUCAGUCCCGUGUUAAAUUCCUGUUCGGGUCAGUCCCGUGUUAAAUUCCUGUUCGGGUCAGUCCCGUUUAAAUUUCUGUUCGGGUCAGUCCCGUUUUAAUUUUCUGUCUGGGUCAAUCCCAUUUCAACAUUUUGAAUAAGAGGUCAGUCCUUGUUUCAAGGGCGGCUAUCGUUGGAAUCAUGCGCAGCCGAAUAACACAGGUAAGUAUUUGGUGUCUACUUCUUUGUCUCAAGUUUUUUCAAAACUCAGACAAAGAGGGGCAAACUGUAGACACCAAAUUUUUGGUGUUUUAUUAUUUAUUUAUUUACUAUUCGUUUUAUUUGUUCUAUUUUUAUUUGUCACAUUAGUUUUAUUCACUUUUAGUUUUAGUUAUUUUAGCCAUUUUAGCAUAGAAUUAAAAGAAAAAUCAUGAAAAAAGGAAAAGUAGAAAUUUUGUUUUGGCUUUAUUUAUCUAUUUUAGUCAUUUAUACUUAAUUUAUCUUCUAUUUGGUUCAUUUGGAAAAAAGAGAAAAUGUGAAAAAUGAGAAAAAUGAAAAAAAAGGAAAAUGAGAAAAGUUGCAUUUUUGUUUAUUUAUUUUUAUUUUUAUCCAACGUUAAUUAAGUUGUUUUUGUUAUUAUUAUUAUUAUUAUUCUUAAUUAAUUAGUUGUCAAGUUUAAAAAAAAAAAAAAAAAAGAGAGAAAAUGUCGCGGCAUGCAAAGCUGCAAUUUUUGGCAGUUUGCAAGGGCAUCACCUAUGCUCAUCGAAGGGCUGGAAGGCUAGGGCAGAAUUGAACCUUCCAUCCGCACCCUUGAGCUGAGGGUUGGCCGGGUAUAAAAAGAAGAAAGGGAGAAGGCCGCAGGGAGGAGAUUUUCUGGAGAGAAAGGCUUGGUGCAAAAAUGGGAAAAGCUGAGAGAGACAAAGGGGGGAUGAAGGCUAGGUCUGAGAAGAAACUGGAAGAAAGCUUCGAUCUUGGAGGUUUUUGAGAGAGCAUCGACAGGCUAAAAGAAAAACUGAGCGAGGGUUUUGGAGUGAGAGAGGGUUAGCGGCUAAGAAAAACCCGAGAGAAGGUGGAGAGAAAGGGAGCUGGGCAUUGAGUGAUGGCUAAAAAAUCUGAAGGAAGAACAAAGAAAGCAAGAGAUUGGCGGCGUGGGUUCUGAAAGAAAAGAAACGAGAAAGAGAGAUAGAGAGAUAGCGGCUGAAAUCUGAGAGGAAAAGGAUUAGCGGCGAGAGUCUUUGAGCAGAAAGGGAAUUAACAGCUGAGUGAAAGCAAGGCUGAACGGGAGAAUCUCACCACCACCUGCGGCUGUUCUUGGAAGAGAAAUCACCACUCAAAUCCAUCGGAAAACCGCGCUAAAGGGGAGGCGACGGAGCCACCUGCAGCGUUCAAUCUUGGGGGAAGAUCAUCUGAGUUCUCCUUGGUCAUUCCACAUUCCACCUCGUGGUCCAGGUACUUUUUCAUCUUUUAUAGCUAAAAGCUGCUUCCUUUAUGUUAUGACUUGCAUUCUGUUUGCUGAUUUUCUGGUUCCGUUUCUUUUCUUUUUUUUAUGCUUCAGAAUUGACUGGUGGUUUCUGCUUGGGUUUGGGGUCUUUUGUUUGAAUAACGAUGAGUCUAGUGUUGGGUUAAUGAGUCGGCUCUUGUAUGGUUGGGUUUUAGUCGAAGGAAAAUGGUUGAAAGUUCCCAACUUUGAGUGAUAUCUAUUCAGAUUUUUCCAGACUUCGCACGGCCUUUCUGUCCUAUCAUUUUGGUUUUUGUUUUCUUUUCUUUUGGCUUGGAUAUCAUGGUUUUCUUUGGUUUGGAAAUGGGUUGGAAUUUCUGGUUUUCAUUUUUGCAUGUUUGAGUAGCUAGUUCACGCUUCCUUACUGCAUUGGUGCAUUACACUUGGUAGGUUGUUUGGGCAUGCUUCGUGGGUGAAUUGCAGCAAGACGAAAGUGAUGUCUUUCGCUGCAGUUUGCUGCAUUUUAGCUGCAUUCAGUAAAAAUUGCUGCAUUUUGCUGAAGCCCAUGGAAUGUCUUGAAUUUUCUUUUGUUUUGCUGGUUGCUUGGUGGCAUUUCAUCGCAUUUGUUGGCUGUAAUUUGAAGCAGUGCUGGUUUGGCAUGAUAGCAGACCACAACAAUGUCAUUUGCUCCUUGUCCGUCACUGCAUUUUGAUACAUUAGCUGAAGCGUGGUGUUGUCUUUGCUGCAUUUUUUUUGUUUCUUCAUUACUAAAACAGACAUCUGGAAAACAUGUGUGCAUUUGCUGAAUAAAUGGUUGGGUUUAAUGAAAUGUUUUGGCACUUUAACCUGCGUGAGCUUUGUAGUUACAAAAUUUCUUAGCAAGAACAAAAAGUUGCAUUCUCUGUUCUGUUUUUUUUUUUAUUUUUUUUGUGAUUGCACAUCAAGCCCUUCCCCCUAAGUUGCAUGUUUAAUCUGUUUUGAGGGAAAGGAAAUAGGAGGUUAGGUGUUUGAGUUUGCAUGUUUAAAACCUGAACCACUGGAGCAAUGGCCGAAUGUUUUGCUGGAAAAUGAACUUUAGGUUGCCGAACCAUUCCACAUGAAUGUCUGUCCAGAAUUUUGUAAUGCAUUAGCUCCUUUAUUGUUCUUGUUUGUUUGGAGUUAAGGUUAAGUAACUUGUUGUUUAGUUAGAGUUAUGAUGUUGGGAUUGGAAAGUAUCCAACCAAAGCCAUGUAGUUGAAUCAAAAAUCUGGUUUGCAUGAUAAGCUGUGACUGGAAAAGAAAAUUGCAUCAAGCUUCAUUCGUUGCUGCUAAAAGUCUUUUGUUGCUGGAAUGAUUUCCAAUUUGUUGUACCAGAUUUGCAUACAAAACAUCUUCAUUUUGGCUCUUACAUGUAUGAUGAAUUUGGUAGGAACUUGAAGUUGGACUUUGUUUUGAGAGUUUUGUCUUGUUUUCUUAGAAAAUCUGUCAUGCAAAGUUGUGAAGGCUUCAAAGCCUAAGAAAAUAUUUGCAGAAUGCUCUUUCACGUUGGUUUGCAUGCAUUUGCAUGAAUAUUUUCCAGAAAAUUUGCACUCUGACCCCCCAAGUCCCCUUUGUUUCACUAUGACCCAACCAAUUGAAUAAUUUCCUCAAUUUGGUCCUUGACAAUUUUAAUUCUACAACUUCAUUGCUUGUUUGUUUUAAUUAAUUACCAUGCUUUGUUUCAGUUGCAUUUAAUUCAUGACUUUAGAGGCUUUAUGACCAAGUGAGCUUGUGUUUGCCUAUUUUCUUUAAUUUUCCCAAAUAAAUUGGUACCUUGACCAUUUCUUUUAUUUUGGAGGAUAAAUGAGUGAUUUCACUUCAUUGGGGCCCAAUUGCAAGGGAGGUAACCUCUAUCUCCUUGAUUUUCAUUUCUCCUAUGUGAUCCAACGUGCUAAGUGUGAAUUGCAUGUCUACGUUGCUUUCCUUGCCUUUCUUUAAUUCCUUUCAUUUAUUUCAUUUACUUUUGCCUUUUAUUUAAGUAUUUCAUUAUGGGGUAUGUGUACACCUCUUGGCUUGUAAUAGAUAGGGCUUGGAUGAGCAUUCGAUGAAGACCUGUUGAAGACAUGUGCCUAGCUAGCAAAUGUAAUAGUUAGGGCUUCAAUUGCUUUAUGUGUCUUGCAUGCUUAGUUGCUAUGUGUUAAUUUGCUUUAUUAGGUUCUUGCAUCUAGUCGAGCAUGCUAAUUGUUAUGUGCUAUGUGUUUAUGGGUGUUUGGCAUGUCUAAUCGCUUUCCAUAGCCAUGAAUGAAUGUGAUGGAUGAAUGUACGUCACCACACUAGUCCAAUGCUAGUUGUGGCUCAUUAUUUCAUUAGGAAUUCAUAGAAAAGGCUAGUCCAACGCUAGACCCAAUAGGCCAUCCCCUUUUGUUAGUGCAUAUUUGCAUGUUCACUACAUGUCAUGCAUUUUUCUUAGUUUUAUCAUUGGCAUGCUCCUCGAACCCUUUUUUCCCCUCAUUUUUAGGUUUUGCAUCUCAUACUAGUUAUAGGGCUCAUUUGCUUGAGAGUCCCCUUUCGAUAAGGGAAACGAGCGAGUGUGGCUACUCGAUAGCCUUAGCACGCUAGUUUUGCCUUCUAAUCAAAGGGAAGAUUAAGUCACAAAGUUAGGACUCCCCGUUCCCGUCUUGAUGCAUUCCUAUAGGAUUCAUGCAUUCUAUUCAUUCACUAUCACAUACACUUACUUUAUAUUCUAACCCUUUUUCCACAUUCUCACUUCACACUACUUUCACACUACUUUCUACAUUCUCUCUUCACACAUGCACCUUAUGGCAUUUUUCACCUUAUUAUUCUUUACUUACUUUACCUUGCAAAGACAUUUGCACACCUCCACUUAUAUCUUAUUACUUUUAUCAUUUUUCUCACUUCACACAAACUCACACUUUCACAUGGCAUGCAUUCCACUCAUUUUACGUCAUUUAGGAUUACGUGUGACCUCUCCAAAGGAUCAUUAUUGGGCUUCACAAUUAAUAUGAUUGGCACCACUCAACCUUUGAAGAGAAAUUUCCCCCAUGUCCCCCUAGGUCUAGGUUUUUUGCAUUCAUAUAGACAUAUCCAACACGCGAUACAUACCUUGGGUAGAAAAUUUAGGGAAAAUUGGUUUAAGUCACGCAACUAGCCUUGGCUAGGUCGAAGGGGUGCCUUGGAUUUUUAUCCUUGCCUUCCCCUUCGUCAAAUGUGACCCCCGAUCCCUCUUUUGGUUACGUAGACCCAAAAGUUCUCUAAAAGGGUUUAUUUACUUUUCAAAAACAAAAAUCAUUUUUGGGUGACUUGGUACACCCUAACUCUAUACCAAGUGGCGACUCCAUUUUUGAUACAAAAAACCCUUUUUGAACUUUAUAUGGCCAAACCGUCGCAUUAUUAAGUCCCAUGGCCUUUAUUUUCAUUUUGCACACGUUCACACACACUCACACACAUCAUAUCAAAAAGUGGGGCGCGACACCAGCACAUACAUGGAGGUCCAUUCAAUAACAGACAAAAUCCAACAAGGAAUUCAAGCCAUUCCAAACAUUCCAUCAACCCCAAAAGAUUGAAAAUUUCUGGGCCCAAAGCUGCGGCAAUAAACAUACAGUUGCUAACGUAUUGUGGCAGAAACUGUUCUAUGCUUAGCAACAAACACUGACUACAUAUCAAACCUGGCAGACCUAGGCUUCCGGAAAGGAUUACACACAGCAGGGGCAACCCAAAACAAACACUUUGACAUCAGGAAAGUGAAACUCCAAUGCAUGAAAAGGAAAAACAAGAAACUGCUGCAACAAGCUGAAAGUUUCAAGCUUGCUGCGACUGUUUUUCUUUAAACGAGUUCAUGCGAUGAAAUAUCAUGCUAUACCCAUGUUAAAACCAUCAUUUUCACAAUAAGCACCGUAGCUAAUAACAGAUUCCAGAAAUGAAUCCCUACCCGACAGGUUUCAAAGGUGCAAUAUUGCUAAAAAAAACAUAGGCAUCGCAGGAUUACACUACUUUUCUUAAACUGCUGAAAUGCGAUUGGAAGACAGGGAAAAAGGUUUACCUUUAACACCAGGAAAUGCCAAUAAAACAUGAAGAAUUCGAGGAUGGUCAGAUUUGAAUCCCAGUGAAGAAAGAUGCUAGCUUGCCGUUCAGAUUCUGGAGUUCCUCCUCCGCACUUGAUGCCCUUCGUCUGAAGAAUCUCCCUUGCCUCUCCGUUUGCAGCGUUUCUUUCCUUUCCUUCUGCUCUCAAGCCAAAACCCUAUCUACUUGCUCUCUCUCAGUUUCUCCUCUAUCUUUUGAUUUUUCUUUUUCUUAGCCCUCAGCUUGCUCUCCUUUCCUCCCAAGAAACCCCGUAGCCUGCUUGCUCUUCCUUUCUUCCCUAGCCACCAACCUUCAACUUUCCUCACUCUCCGCCGUCCCCCCUCUGUUUUGUUUUGCCUUUUAAACCUCUCUCCGUUGAUCUCUCACCCUUGCUCUUGUUCUCUCUCGGCUCCCCCUUACUCCAUCUCCCUCAGUCUUUCUUUUUUUAGUCCUCCAGCUCUCCCUCUGUCCCUUUUGCGGCUACUCCCCCGUAUCCUCCCUACGAACCAGCUCCCCCCCUUUGCGGCUGCCUUUUGUUUUCUAUUUAUAUGGGGCCUCCCAAACUCCUAAACCCUUGUUUGAAAGGUGAGGAUGAGGGACAAGGACAGGCCCUCACAUCCAGCCCUCCAAAGGCUGUUGAAGUUGUACCUCGCACGCUGCAAAAAAUUGCAGCGUGCAUGCUGCGAUAAUAAUUUUUUUUUUUUUUCUAACAACUUGAUAAUUACAGAAAUGAUAAAAUAAAAUAUAAAUAAUAAUAAUAACGAAAUUACACAAACCAGGUAAUGAUAAUAAUAAUACUAAUAACGAUGAAAACAAACAAAAAACUAAACAACUAAAAACAACAAAAAUGGCCAUUUUUCCAUCUUUUUCACAUUUUCUUUUUUUUCAUUUUCAUUCAUUUUCUUUUUCUCAAAAUAACUUAAUAAAAAUAACUAAAGUGCCCAAAGAUUGAAUUUAAAGAAAUAAACAUAUUUUUGUGAAGAAAUUUCCUUUUUUCCUUUUUUAUGAUUUUCAUUUUCAUUUCUCUUUCAAGAAAGCAUUGAAUAAAAACAAAAUGACUAAAACAUAUUUUUGAUGUCUUCCUUUUCUAUUUUCUAAAAACUCUAUGCUAAUUUUAAAAUUAAAAGCUAAAACUAAAAACUAAAAGUAAAAGCAAACAAGAAUAAAUAGCAAAUGAAAUAGAUCAACUAAAAGAGCGAAAAUGAGUAAAACUAAAAUAACAUAACAACUAAUAGUGCAAAACACACAGUAACGAACUAAAAUGCAGGCAAUCUGAAAUGAAAAUCAUGAAAUAGAUGGCUACAUAAAAUUAUUCAAAAUUUGGUGUCUACAGUAGGCUGAUUACUUCUGAUGGAGUUAAUAUCACACACAAUUUGUCAUGUGUUGUAUCCUAUUUGAAUGAGGAAAAAAUACAACAAACUUACCAGUUGCUAACUAGAUAAAAUAGCUUGUUGCAACAUAUUUAUCAAAGCUAUGUGGCCUCAACAACUUGUUGGAAGCUUUUUUACGGUGAUGUGAGUUAGUGGGGUUGAAAAGAUUUAGAUUAUCAUCUUCAGGUAUGACUGUAUUGGCAUGCGUAUAUAUGUCUUUUGCUAACAUUAAUGUUGCGAAACCUUGGCCUGUUGCCCUUUGCUAUUAUUUUCUAAUUUGAAAAUGAAGCAUUGUUCACAAGGCUCAGUUACUAGAAUGAUACUGUGGAAAACUAACUAAAAAAGAAAGUUGAACGUUGUCACAAAAGCUUUGGCACAUAUAUUAGUUUUGAUAGAGUUUGAUGGGGCUAAUGUUAAUGUUUUUGGAUACGACAUUUUAAGUGUUUCUAAUUCCUUUGCAUGUUUUUCCACCCCAUCAACUGGAACAAAUUCUAGUGUAGGAUAUACAUAAGUUUUGUUGUUGUUCGUGGAAAUGAUGGAAAGGAGGUCUCUUAGUAUAUAGUCUUCUUUUUAAUGUGACAGCCCUACCUCCCCCUAAGGUGAACCAAAGGGUUUGGCGGACCGCCUGCCCAACUCUCGCUGGGAUUCAGUCGUUCACUACAGUCCUUAAUUAAACUCGGAAUAAAACCACAGGAAUAAAUAUAGCAACAAUCCAAAAUUUAAAGCGAAACUUAUAUAGAUUUCUAUCUCAAAAGGGAACACAAAUAUCAAAUUGACAAAGGUUCUCAAUUCAUCAUACACCCAACCCGUGCCAAGCACUAGGGCAAGAACUAUUUCAAAAUUCAGAGAUCAAGACUAAGCUAGUCUACACAAAGCUCCCGUUCUGACUCACCUUCCCCUGUUAAGGAAAACAACUAAAGGGAUGAGUUAAAAGUUCAGUGAGAUUCCGAACACAUAAUCCAACAAUAAAGCCAAUGCAUUAACCAUAGAUAACCAAUAAUUCAAGAGACAUUGACAAUGGAAAGUGAUAAUAACACAUUCAUUAAAAGGAUACGUGCUCACAGGGAGCCAUUCAUUCAUUCGUUCAUUCGUUCAUUCAUUCUCCCUUCAUUCCCUUAUUCCUCCAAUCAUUUGAAAAUGUAUUUUUGUAAGUAAAACCCCUCAUUUGGCAUUGAAUUUCGUUCAUUCAUUUCAUUCACCCCCUCCUGGACAUUGGCCAAGCUCCACCAGACUACAAGGUAAUAUUCGAGUAUACCAAACUUUCACCCACGGUCACCAAAUCGCCCGACCGAGUCCGCUUCUGGCUCGAGUCGACAGGUAACAAAGGGCAAGGGCCCAGUUCAGCCAAACGACUUACAUUCAUGCGCAACUAGCAUUUAAUCAUUUAAUCAUUAAAAAUUUCACAUUUAUUUAGGUCCAGUGCGAUAAAGUACACACUCGCCUUGUAAAAUUCAUUUUAACAGUCAUUGAUAACAUGGAACAUGUAAUCAUACAUCCACAACAAGCCAUAUAGUCAAUGGAAAUAUAACAAACAAGGAAUACUCACCUAUUUAUGCAAAAUAAUAUCCAAAAUAUCCUGUCGGAUAAUACCGUUAGUCACCGAUGAACCCUAAUAUAAUCAAAAGAACACAUUAUGCUUCAACCAUCAAAGAUUUAAGUGAUUCAAAGAAAAUUUGAAUACGUACUAGUAAAAAGUAUAAAUAUGGUUUUGGUAGUGAAAAGAGUACAUUUAAACCAAAGGACAUAAGUAAAAUAUUUGUAAAACUUAUGCUCACUUAUAAAACUUUAAAAUCUCCAUUUGAGUCGAAGUGACAAAGAAAACGUAUUUCUAUUAGUCGUUAAGUUCAUUUUUCCAAGGGUACAAGUUCGGCCAAAUUCUAACUUAUAUACCUCGAUAAAAGAAUAUGCAAAUAUCCUAGAUGGUUCACGUGAUAUUCGCUCUCAAGCCUUACUCGAGUCGUAAGUAUAGCUGUUUAGCCCUCGAGCGUAAAUUUGGACAGCAUGCCCUUUGUAUUUACCUACUUUCCCGCCAUUUAUGGCUUCAUUCUUUACCUCAGUCAGUCCCAAAAUCAUACACAAAAUCAUCUCAUUUCCAUAGCCAUUCAAUAGGUUCAAAGUCAUACAAGUACCAAACCAAGCUAGGAACAUGUGCGGAAAUGAAGUUUGCGUCAAAAAACAAAAGAUAGAUUUGACGUUGUUUUGCGCAACGGACACAACCAAGGCUACGCUUAUCAGAUUGAGGUACAACUUAUACCAUUUCGAAACUAAGACAGAGGGCUACAAUUUUGAUGGAGACCACUUAGUCCAGUUUCUAGUGUAUCCAAGUCAUAUUCCCAAUUUACAGAACUAGAAUCUCACAAACUGGUCAGUUAACUGUGCUAUGCUCAAACGACAAUAACUCAGGCUACCAAAGUCCAAUCGCAAUGAUUCUAGGGGCGUUGGAAAGCUAAGACAUAGCACUACAACUUUCAUGUUUUGGCUAAAUGCUAAUUCAGUACACAUCAGGGUGAACAGACGUGAUCAGAUUGGUGAAAUGUGAAAACUAUCCCUAAAGUUCUUCCUAUGGCAGUCAGGGGUAUUUUUGUCUUUUCACAUGAUAAAGUACUCAAAUUGAGCUGAAAUUUUACAUGUACCUAUAAAACAUCAUUAUCUACAACUUUCAUGUUUUGUGUUAAGCCUAAUUUAGCCUCUAACAUGGCAAAAAAGAACCGCCCAGAACAGGGGAAUACGAAAACUUAAACCUGGAAUUUGAGCUGUUCCUCUAGAAUUUCAUAUCUAGCAAGCAUUCAAGCAUCAAAGCCAACAAUUACUAACUCUAUAACAUCCGUUACUAGAUGAAUAACCAUAUGCAAGGCUGAAAAUGUAAACCCUAGCUCCAUAUUCCACAUAUCAUUCCAAACUAGCAAAUUUACCGUUAUAAACCAAGAAUAUGAGUUUCUAUCCAAACUUAAACAAGAUUAAUGAAAAGGAAAGGGAUAGGCAGCCAUGGUACCUUCCAAAAGCUCCUUGUAGGUGAGAAACCAAACACUUUCUUCCCAACCUUUUACCACACACAACUAUCUAAGCACUAAAAUGAAAGGUUAAUCGGUUUGGAUUUUGGAUUUUCACUCAACUAAGUUGGAUUCAAGGUGAAGUUGCUAGCUUGUCUUCCUCUCCUUUUUUUUUUCUCUCAAACUCAUGACCAAGAUGCUGGAAUGGAGGAGAAAAUGAAGCUUCAAGAAGGUUUAUAAGAUGGUAAUUGGUUUGGGUCAAAGUUAGGUGGAUGACCGCCAAGUAUCACCACAAGAUUCAACCUUAAUUUUUCCUUUUCUUGGUCAAUAUUUUCAGCCAUAUUAAGCUGGAUUAAGGGAUGAUAUUUUACACUAAUAUCAAGGUUAUUUUAUGGUAAGAAAAUGGUGGUCAAGUGGUGCACUCAAUCGGUAACAAACGGUAUCUGUCGGUUUGAGCCGAUUUUCCUUAAAUCGCAUCUACUAGGGUUUUAACUUAUAAUUCACUAACUUAUUAUUACCACUUCUAAUCACACACUUAAUAUCAUUUAAAACUGAUUUUUAAUCACCAAAUUUGAUCCACACUUCAUACCGGAUAGUCACACCACAGAUAGGCGUAAAACCCUAAUUCAUGCUAACUUAAAAAACGAAAAGUGAAAUCCUACUUUCUAGGUUCAUUUGCACUUAUUGUAGAGUGAUUGAGUAGUAGGGCUAUUAUAAAGUAAUAAUUUCUAAAUAAAAGGGGCUUUUUAAGAAAAAUAUAAGGAAUUUUACGAGUCCUCACAUUUAACCUCCUCCAUAUUUCUGAACUUUUUCUUCUUUUUGCAAUUACAUCAGUAUCCGAGUUACCAUGAUAUGGAAGUGAAGGCAUUAAUUUUUAUAUUAGUGUUGUGUUAUAACAGUGUUUAUUCCUUUUCAAAAGGAUACCAAAAUAUAUAUUUCAUUUCAUUAUCAAAGAAUAUUUAUUUUUAACUAACUAUACAGGUUAUUAUCCACCAAAUGUUCUUAUUCCAUGAAUCUAUGUGACGACCCUAUCUCUCUCUAGGGCGUAUCCCAGGGUUUAGCGGACCGCCUGCCCAGCUAUCGCCAGAACUCACUCACACAGUUUCAUAGAUAAAUUAUAACUUCAAAAGUAAAAGAAGUAACAGUUCCCAAAUUUAAAAUGUACAGUUAUACACGUGGUUAUCUCUAAUAUCUAUACAUAUCCAAAUGUAAAAAAAUUUCAAGUUCUAGUUGAACUUCUAACCCUAAUCGAGCACUAGCGCUAGUACAAAUACAAAAGUCAAAAGAUCUAGACAAAACCAGCCUGUCCCAACCUCACGCCCAUGCUCGCAUCCCCUGUAAGGAAAACAAAACUAAAGGAGUGAGUUAAAACUCAGUGAAAUUCCAAAACAUCAUGCAAAACUAAAAGCAAGUUGGCAAUUAUAUAAAACUUGAAAUUUCAAAGUGGGCGAGCACAAAAGUUCAUAAAAGUAAGCAAUAACACUUCAAGCAACAAGUUAAUUAAGUAUUUAAUAUUUCCAGGUAUAAGAAUACAGUUCACUCUUGCAAGCUACUUCGGCCACAACUUGUCGAGAAGCAGUUGACACUCCGUCAACUCUCAAAGUACUGUACCAAGUCCAGUAGAGCGCCACUUAACUCCAAUCUCCAUCCACCAAUCAAACCCCCUACUGGACCCGAACUCUAACAUUAACAGUGGUGGUAAUACUCGAGUAUACUGAAUCUAGUGGAUCGCAUCAUGUGGAUUACAUAAUAAACAAUAAACAGUACUUAUGACUCGCCUAUCUCCUCGACCAAGCUCUUGCUGGCUCGAUUCGACCAACUAACCAAUAGGAUUGGGAUCCCAGGUAGUAUUCAAGUCAUACACAUAUACAUCAAACCAUUCGUAACCAGUGUAUAACAAUUAGUCAAAUUAGGGCAAGUGCGAUAAAGUACACCCUUGUCCAACCAAACAAGUCAAGUACUAUCCAAUCACAUAAAGAAAGCAUUGCAUUCAAGUAUCAAGUUUGGUCAUGCAAUUGGAGACACUCACCAAUGAUUCACUGCUUAUCAAAAUCAAACUCAAGUCCAGCCCCCUGACCAGAGUCAAAAUCUGUGAUAAAAUGUCAUAGAGUAACAUGUAAUCAAAUAGGGUUUCAAAAUAUACGACCUUUGCUUAUUAAUAUCAAAGAAAAAUUAAGUAAAUAGUAAUCAUAAUGCUUGAUAAACCCUAGAAAAUACAUGCCCGUUCUUUUGGUUUUGGUAAAUAAACGAUUGAAACUUUUAAGUUCAUAACUUGAUAUAUGUAACUAUAAAAUCUUGUUUAAAGUGGCCAUUACUUUCUUCUUGCAAAAUAUAUAGUUUUUGGCAAAAUUUCAGCUUACAUAUUACUACCAAGGGAAACUCAAACAACUCUAAGCAAACUAAGUCCGAAUCAACCACAGCUCAUCCUUCUACUCUCACUUUCACUCACUUAUACUACAAGAAAAGAAACGGGUAGCGCUUCCCCUGUUUUUCCUUUAAUUUUUCUCCAAUUUUCCAAGCUAAGUUUCAUGGCAAAACAGCCCAAAUCAACUCCACAAGUUAUAAGGUAAAAGGGGUCCUUAUACUAGGCUACAAAACCAAGUAAUUUGGGCUUAUCUCUAGCACAUAAAUAUCAUGUAUCUAAGCUGGAAAAUUCAAACCCAAAGCUGAAAAUUUGGUACUAAAGCUGGAAAAUCCUUAUUUGGAAGCUAAAAUUAUUAAAGCUAGAAAUCUUUACAUUAACACUCUCAAGUCCAUAGCAAGGCUAGAUAUCAUCAUAUCAUGGCUGGAAAAUAUAAAUCAAAGCUAGAAAAUUUCACCAAUCUUCACAACUCCAUGAUAUCUUCUAUAAAACUUUUACAAUCAAGUCAUCUACCCAAUAAAAUGCAAGAUAAGAAAGAGAAAAAAGUUGGUUAGCUUCAUACCUUCAAACCCUUAUAGGAAAAUGUAAAAACAAAGGUUGCCUAUCCAAUAUCACUCCACCUCAAGCUUCCUUGUCACCUUGUUGCACCCUUUUAUGGAUUAGAUUAAUGGUUCUUGUUGAUUGCUCACUAAAUCAAGGCAAAAGCUAGGUGAAAAUUGAAGUUUCUCCCUCUCUUUUUCUCUCUCUUUUGGUCGGCCAAGAUGGUAAGAAAAUGAAGGAAAUUUUGGUGAAAUGAAAGAUAAGAAUGGAAGAAAGGUUUUGGUCAAAUAUGGCCGUGAUUGCCAACACUUGGCACUCAACUAUUUUUUCUCUUUUUUUUCUUCUUUUGCUCUCUUAUUUUGUCAAAAAUUUUGGCCAACACCCUAGGAAAAAUAGGGAAGAGAAAAUAAAAGAAAAAUAAGAAAAUUAAAGAAAGAAAAUCUUGGUUAAGGAAUGUCUUUAACCGGUAACAAGCGGCACGAGUCGGUUCAAGCCUAUUUCUUUGUCUCUCUUGUUUUUAACUUAUGAUUCACUAAUUUACUCUUAGCACUAUUAGUCACAUAUUUCCUCUUACUUAACACCCGUUCUUAUCCACCAAAUUUAGUGCACAUACCUCACCAAUUUGAUCACAUUACUGCAAUGCACCAUAAAACCUAGUAUGCAUCAAACUAUAAAAGUAAAAGUAAAACCCUCAACUCUAUCAUUAAAAAUACUUAUAAAUAUUUAGGCAAGUAAAUUAGUAUUAGAGAAACUAUAAAUUAACUUAUUCAAAAAUAAAGAAAAUAUAAGAGAAUUUUCAAGUCCUCACAAAGUCACAAUCUAUGUUUAUUGGGCAUGUUUUCUUUUCAUCCCAACGUACAUCGCUCGGUUUAUGCCUCCUAGUUAUUUGUUAUAAAUGAUGGAUGCAUUCUUGUUAGUCUAAUUCAUCUUAUACUUAUUUAGAUUCAAAGUUUAGGGACAUAAUUAGGAUAAAUUAGCAUGCUUUAAUUUCUAUAGGCUUGAAAUUAAGCAAUUUGAUUAUGCAUAGGUUAAUUUCUAUUAGAGUUGACUGGAUGCUAGCUCACAUAAUCUGAGAUAUGUGAUCCUUCUACUUGUAUCAUUUUUGUUAAUGUGUUUAUAUAACUUUUUUAGUUUAAAAAACUUCUUUUUGCUAUGAAACUCGGAAUGAGAAUGUAUAUGUUGUGCCUAUACUUGUGAAUGCUAUGUAGUUUUAAAUUGCAAUUGUACAUUAUGAAAUUGUUGAAUUACUCAUUAAUUGUUGACGGAACUAGUUCCACCUUAUGAACUAUCUAACCAAGUUGUUGUUAAGAUAUGGUCCAUGCCAAUGGAAUUGUAGUUGGAUAAUACAUGUGGCACAUCCAAUCAGGUUCUAGUUGAGAUAUGAGUCGAGUCAACUAGAUUAUAGUUAGUAUUAGACAUUCAAAACCCAUAUAAUUGGUAUAUAACUCUUGCAAUUGGUUGUAUAAGUGUGUUCUAUUUAUGAUUGUUAGCGACCACAUCUUUGUUAUGAAACUGUCUCUUAUAGCUACAUAUUAUGAUAUUUGUGAAAUGUAUAUGAUAUUAUAACCUACUAAGGUUAAUAAGGUGCAUUUGGACUACUUAAUGAAUUUUGUUUUGUUGGCUCCACUGUUGAUAUUUUGAAGAGGACUCUUUCUAUAAGGAGGACUUCCAUGAUGUUUUGAGAUAUUAGCUUUUGGUAAUGAAUAUAAUGAAAUGUUUCGAUACACAAAACUAGUGUUUUUCUCUAAAGGUUUGUCAAAAACUUAUCUAGGGCUUUCAUGGUAUACUUCUAUAAUUUUUUUGUGAUCUUAUCAUAAUAUUCUACUCAUGAGCAAGUUAUUUAUUAUAAGAAACAAAAAUAAGAGCCAUCAAAAGUAUGUGUGACGACCCCACCUCUGCCUAGGGCGUACCCCAGGGUUUAGCGGACCGCCUGCCCAGCUCUCGUUAGGACUCACUCACUCACGUCAAGAAAAUAGGGUGAAACCUCAAGAAUAAAGGAAAUAACAGUUCCCAAGUUCGAAACAUACAAAUACAUUCAUUUCUAUCUCAAACACCCAUACAAUCCCAAAUAUAUCAAAAGAUACGAGUUCCAGAUACAAUCAACCCUAAUUGAGCGACUAGUGCAAGUACAAUCGCAAAAUUUCCUAAACUAGACUACGCUAGCUUGUACAAGUCUCACGCCUCGCUCGUAUCCCCUGUAAAGAAAACAAAUAGCGUGGAAUGAGUUAAAAAUCCAGUGAGGUUCCCAUACACAUAAUCAAGUAAUUAAAACAAGAACAUUAGUUAUUUAAGAACAACCAAUCAGGAAAACAUUUACAACAUAAAAGCAAUGAGAACACACUCAUUAAAAGGAUACAUGCUCACGUUGAGCCAUUCGUUUAUUCAUUUGCCAACUAUUUUCCUUAUUCCUCCAAUUAUUAGAAAAAUUUGCAAGUGAAAACUCCUCCAAUGUUCUUGACAUUCAUUCAUUAAUUUCAUUUCCCGCCACUAGCCAAUUCACUGGCCAGUCUCCACCAUUCUUCGUGGUCAUACUCGAGUAUACCAAACAUUAUUCCAGGGUCACCAGUCGCCCGAUCGAGUCCGCUUCUGACUCAAGUCGACUGGCAACGAAGGGCAAGGGUCCAGUUCAGCCAAAAGGCUUACAUUCAUGCACAAGUAGCAUUUAAUUAUUUAAUCAUUGAAAAUUUCACAUUCAUUUAGGUAGCGAUAAAGCACACAUUCGUCUAGCAAAAAUUCAUUUUAGCAAUCAUUGAAAACAUUUAACAUUUAAUCAAACAUUCACAACAAUCCACAUAGUCAUUUGAAGCAUAACCUAUAAGAACACUCACCAAAGAUCUAUUGCUUUUCAAAAAUUACGUUCAAGUCCAACUCAUUGGUUGGAGUCCAAAUCUGCGAUAAAAUAUCAUUUAAGAAUGUAAAACUCUCUAAAGUUCGAAACAUAGGAGUUUCGCUUCAAGAAAAUCAAAUAAAUGAAACUUGUUUAAGUGGUGGUCAUAUGGCUUAUCAAACCCUAGAAAACUCAUGCUCGCUCUUUUAGUUUUGAUAGAGAAGUAAUUUAUAUUCUUGAAGUAACACUUAGUAUAAAAACUCGAGAAAUUUGCCUUUUUAGGUGUCGCUACUUUUACUUGUUAAAGGGCACGAGUUUUGGCAAACUUUUCAACUUAUGUAUCUCUUACUAAAGAAAAAUCAAAUACCAUAAACAAGCGAAAUUUGCUUCAACCUCGAGUCGUCGCUCAAGUCUCAAGGUUCACUUGUCUAACCCUAGAGUGAAAAUUUGGGCAGCAUGACCUUUGUAUUUAGCUAUUUUCUAGCCAUUUAUGGCUUCAUUUUUUUUCCCUCAACUCAGCCCAAUUCGAUACAUAAAUAAACUUAACAUAAUAUCUCUUCAACUCGGCUCAAUGUCAUCCAAAAAUAAGUCAAUUCGAGCAAUGCAACCAUCCAAAUCAAAGCUAGAAGCUAGAAACUAGUUUUAAAGACAAAUAGCUAAGCAGCAGGUUUGACAUCUCUAGGCGUUUUAGUCAAAACUGAAGUUAUGCUUAUCAUAUUAGGGUAAAUUUUAUGGCGUUUCGAAUUUGAGACAAAUACCUACAUUUCCUAUGAAGACAUCGACACCCAAUUCAUGCAUUUUCAAGGUCAAAAUAUGAAAUUUCCGAGAAAACAGAAAGCUGCCUGUGAAAUAGGGCUUUUGACAGUCAGGGGUAUUUUAGUCAUUUAACUUGAUACAGAGCUCCGAUUGAGCUGAAAUUUUACAAGAAGAUUGUUUACUCCAUUCCCUACAACUUUCAUGUUUUGAGCAAGGCCUGAUUCGGCUUUUAUCAUGGACGAAUAUACAGUAUAGAAACAGGGCAGAUUCAUCAUCAAAGCUGGAAAUUCAUUUCCACUCUAAAAAUUCAUGCUCAUUACUAUCAAGUACUAUAUCAUCAAAACCAUCAAUUACUAGCUCAAUACCAUCAAUUACUAGAUAGAAAACCAUAAUCAAGGCUGAAAAUGUAAACCCUAGCUAACCCUUCUAUUAUAUCAUCCAAAACUGAAUCAUUAACCAUAAUAAGCCAAGAACAUAAGCUUCUAUCAAAAUUUAAACAAGAUUAAGGAAGGGAAAAGGAAAGGAAAUCAUGAUACCUUCCAAUAAUUGCUUGUAAGUGAAAACCACACCCCUUUCUUCCAAAACUUUUACCACACAAAGCUUUCCAACCACCAAAAGAGAAGUUUAAUCGGUUUAGUUUUGAGAUUUCAACUCAAACAAGGCUAAUCACGGAUGAAAUGGGAGGUUUCUCCUCUCUUGUGUUUUCUCUCCAAGAGUUUCGGCCAAGCAUGAAGAAAAGAAGAAGAAAAUGAGCCAAAAUGAAAGAUAAGAAGGAAAGAAAUAAGCUUGGUCAACAUCCUUUGGAUGGGCGACACUUGUCGCAACAAGAUGGUUUCUUAUUUUUUUUUCCUUUUCUUCCUUUUCUUUAGUCAAAAAUGGUGGCUGACUUAAGAGUAAUAUAGGGGAAAUUAAAUGAAAUAAAAAUAAGGAGAUUAGGGUAAGAAGUAGGGGUCAAGUGAGGUACUCGAUCGGUAGCAAACGGUACACGUCAGUUCAAGCCGUUUUUCCUUAACUCAUGCGUACUAGUGUUUUAACUUAUGGUUCACUCACUUAUUAUUAACACUUCUAAUCACACACUUUUUCUUACCUAAUACUCAUUCUUAUCCACCAAAUUUAGUACACACACCUCACCAAGUGAUCACACUACCAAAAUGCACCAAAAACACACCAAAAACCCCCUAGUAUGCACAAAAAACUUAACUUAUGCCCUUCCUUUAGAAAAAUCAUAACUUGAGUUAUAAAUAUCAAAAAUUCAUACAACUUAGUCAGUUAAAAACUAGACUUCAAAUAUUAAUAAUCUUUAAAAGACACCUCAAAGAGAUUCAGUUCAUAAGUUAGUCCAAAUUGAGCCAUAAGCUACUACAACAUUCCUAUGUUUACGUGUGUAGGGCAGAAUUUUCAGUCAAUUUUGCCAAUUUUUUGAAAUUUAUAAAGAUUGAAUAAAACUCUAAAAUUUUCACCGUAGGAAGCCCUAUGAGUCUAGUUUCAAACGCAACAAAUAGAACUCAAUUCUAACUUUCCUAUACGAAGUUAUAGUCAAUUUCCCAAAGCUGCGCAGAGCCUUCUGCGAAAAUUUCUAGAUUUUCUAACAACUUGAGAUUAUGAAACUUUUUUUAACAAAAUUCACUCCCUUGGCUCACAUUCAACCAAGAAUCUAAGGUAAGUAAGGUCACAUAAGAGCUAUAAAGACAAGUAAAAUUUCGAGAUCUCACAGUAUGUAAAACAUAUUUUACAAAAUCUUCAAUCAAGAUAAACUCAAUCACUUUGCUUCGAGAAAAACAUAUAGGUUUUGAUCAUAUAAACAUUCAUGACAAUCAAAUCAAUUUGUCACAUAAGUUAAUAAAAGAUGUGUAACAGCCCCACUUUCCCCUAAGGCGAACCAAAGGGGUUAGUGGGCUGCCUGCCCAGCUCUCGCCAGGACUACGGAUCAGUUCACGUCGAUCUAAUAUGUUCCGGAACAUACCCACGCGCGUAAACAAGUCAAAAUCACAAAAUAAAGAAAAAUGAAAAUCGAAGCCGAUGAUGAACAGUACCGGCCAUGUCCGAAUCCGGAUACUAGGCCGGGAGUAGUCAAAUUUUUCUUUUGCCGUUUGAAAUACAAGUUAAUCAGAAAUCCAACCAAAUGUCAACCAACCAUUAAUACAUUGCAAUUCAACAUUUACAACCAAUUUGGCAUGCCAAAAGCUAUUCAAAAUAGACAUAUACAUGGCUCAAUUUGGCAAUCAACAAGUAUGAUCUUCCAAAAAUGAUCAUUUUCCUGUAAGGAAAACAAAUGGAACAAAGUGAGCUAAAGCCCAGUGAGCAACUAUCACAUAAGCAACAAAGAUCACUUAAGCAUAACCGUUCAUUUCAAGUAUCCAAAUAGGAAGCAAAACAAAUCGGUAAAAGGAUACGGACGGCUCUCAAGAGCCCAUUUCCACGCUUACAUUCUUGAUCCAAUCUCAUUGACUCUCCGUCAACGUUUAUGAGUACCAACCGUAGAACCCACUUCACUCCCAUCCCUUCCACCAAACAUACCCCAACCGGGCCCGCACUCCAAGCAGUAACUUUAGGUGAUACUCGAGUACACCGGAACCAAGGGUCUCAUUACCACAAGAUUCCCAUUUCAGUCCCCGUGGCUAGUCAAUUUUCACGACCAAGCCCUCGCUGGCUCGAUUCAAAUGACUCCCAACGGAGUCGAGCUCAGUAGUACAGUAGGGCCGUUGGAUACUCGUCCAACCGACACCCAAACAAUAUCAGUACAGUAAUUCAUAUAGCAGUACAGUAAGACAGUGAAACGGUAAACAGUCAGUCACAAGAAUAAAAGGAAUGAGGGCGGUCAAGUACACCCUCACCCUAAUCAUUUCCAAUAGCCAAACAAGCCUUCAAGGCAUCACAUUAGCAUAUAGCAAAGCCACAUUAUAAACAUCCAAGUGAGUAGUAUACUCACCAAUUAAGCAAGUGAGGUUUCAUGCACCGUCGUCCCUAGUACGUCGUGCACUAACGUCACGCCCUAGAACAUGUAAACAAAUACCAUAAGACUCGAUAACGAGUCAUAAAGCCAAGCCAAUUAUAACCCAAUAGGGUUUCAUAUGCAUAAACAAGCAUAAUAGCAAACCAGAAAUUUCAGCAAAGGGAACUCAUUUGAUCCAACAACAAAAACAGUUUUCGCCUCCUAAUGCGGUAAUGGCACAAAAUGCGCUACGCUUAUCGGAUGAGGGCGUAAGACCCACCAGAUCGAAGCUAAAAGACAGGGCUACAACAAUGUAGAAGGCCACUCAGUCCAAAUCCUAGCACAACUAGGUCAAAAAUGCAGAAAACCAAGCCAGAACCGUAAUUACAGGUUCCCAAAUCACACAAAACUGUAAUCAGUCCAAGUCAGUCUAUACAGGUCCAAAUGCAUUGAUUCCAAAGGCAUAUGAUAGCUAAGACAUCAACAUACAUUUCAUCAGAAGACACUAUCAUCAAAAUCCAAAGAAAUUCCAGUCAAAAUGGCCAAUUACAAGUGCAGUUCGCACAUUCUGAUCACCCAGAACAGCAACAGUAAAAAUGACAUAACUCACUCUACACUACUCCAAAUGCCCUGAAAUUUUGCAGGCACUUCAAAAUCAUCAAUACCUACAACUUUCAUGUUUUGACAAAAGUCCAAUUCGGCCUCUAACCCUAUGAUCCAAAACCGGACAGAUUUAGGGGUUAUCAACCCUAACUUUUCUCAUUUCAAUCCAAACCCAAAAUUAGUUGCAUUUAUCACUAAUUCACACCUACUAGAGUCUUUAUAGACUAUUGCCAAUCAUCAAAGACAGCCACAACAUCACAUUCAUAUUAAACCAGAAAAUUCCUCAAAAAUAUAAAAACUUCACCAAAUCAACUCAAAUCAAGAAAUAAAUCACACAUUCCAUCACUCAAGCCACCAUUAGGCACAAAAUAAGCAUCAUUAGAUAUAAGAGGAUGUUCAAUCAUCACUUACCUAGUAAACAAGAGAAGAGGAGUUGUAGACCACCUUAGCUCUUCCAAAAACUUCACCAAACUCACCACUAACACUAAAUGGAAAGAUUGUAUGGAGUGGAAACUAGUUGGUGUGAUUGAUUUGGAUGAUUUGAGCUAGUGGAAAGCUUGAAGAUUGAAGAAGUUUUCUUCCUUCUUGGCAAGAGAGAGGGCCGGCCACAAGGUGAAAGAAAAUGGUGAUUUUUUGUGAAAUUUUUAGAUAUUUAACCAAUUUUGGUCAAAAGUCAAAAAAAGUGAAUAGUGUUCUUAAGUCAAAACCAAUCACCAAGUGACACGUGGCACUUCAUUAAUGCAUUCAUAUCCUUUCUUUUCUCUCUCACAUCAAUCAUUUCACACACUCUACUUAUCUCUUAACACCCGAUAAAUUUUACACAGUAUCCGAAACUUAACCUUUUUGGCCGAAUUUUUUCAAACUUUUCACACUAGUGGGGCCCACGUCCAUUAUAUAUCCGUAAUUUUUCAAAAACUACCCAAUGCUAGAAAAAUCAUCUAAAAACUAUAAUAACGCAUAAAAUCCACCAAGAAAAUUUUCCUAACCAGAAAAUGCAGAAAACAUGCCAUUAAAGGGGAAAAACCCUAGGAAAAACAUUAAGGGAAAAUACGGGUUCUCACACUCUCUCCCCCUUAAAAGAAUGUCGUCCUCGACAUUCUAACUCCUAUAUAAAGCCGGUCAAGAUAUCGUUCAGAAACCAAUCAAGCAGUAGAAUUCCAUCUACUCCAACUCGUAUUCACCAGGUCCAAUUUGUUUUUCCCAAAGUCAGUCAAAUACUAAGAAACAUUCUAAUCUUACUUAUCACAAUUCAUGAUCUUGUAAAUCACUUAUCAAAUUCAAGUACUAAGUAUCACGCCAAUCCAACUUAUCAAAUAGUCAUGGUCCAGUGGUCCAGUAGGGAGUUAAUCGCGUAACCAGAUAAAACAGGCAAAAGGCUUGAAAUCGGACGUAAUGUCCCAGAUAUUUGGAAGACAUUCAGGGUAUAGCGAAGCUUCAAAUCAAAAUUCAUCCCUGGUGGUGCUGGACAACACAACAAGCUAGCACAACGGCUAAACUUCGCCAGAGAGCCUCCGUUCAAGUAUUUCAUCCCUGGUGGUGCUGGACAACACAACAGGCAUGCCUCACCAGAAGAAUGGCGGUGCUGGACAACACAACAGGCAUGCCUCACCAGAAGAAUGGCGGUGCUGGACAACACAACAGGCAAUGCCCCACCAAAGAGGUUCAGUUCAACCGCUACAGAAAAGUAGUAGCCGGUCUACAACCACAUGAGUACGAAGAAGUUCAAGAGUAGGGUCAAAUAUUACAAGUUCAGGGAGCAUGAACACAAAGAAGAGUACAAGUUCAAGUUCAAGGAUCAUGAGUACAGGUAAGAACACACUGGCCUAACCUCUGUCCAGCAAUUCACAUUCGUAAAUAGUCAUAAAAUUCAAGUCCACCUACAGGUCACAUACCUUAUAUUCAGUGAAAUUAGGUCCAUUAAGAGUACGUAUGAACACACUCGCCUAACAGGGUCACGUCUCAAGGAAGUUCAGUGUAGUCGGUCUCAGGCAGCUCAAGAUCAAUCUCAGGUAGUUCGAGGUCAGUCCCAAGUAGUUCAAGUAGAGCAAAUUCCAACACGUACCAAUCAGGUGGUGCAAAAGUCUAUAGAUCCACACCUAUCGUGUGCGUAAUACUCCAACUAGAAACAAAAUAAAACACAAAACAAAUACACGAAAAGCACGUAAAAGCGUAGGUACCAAAAGAUACGACUCGAAUAUAUACAUUUAUUUACAAAACCACACCAAAAGAUAUACAAAGUACCCGACCUCCAGUCGGUACAAAACCCAUUAUGCACACGAGCACUCCGGCUCCAAAAAGCUAGUCAGUCCACCAAAUAACCAAAGAAAUUAGCCAUGCCAGUCCUAGCAAAAGUAAUCUACCAGCUACUCAUAAUACAAAAGCAACCCUAAUCACCUCCCCUAGGGCCCCGGUUCCCAACGGAACUUAAAGUAUCUAUCUCGCCUAUCUGCUCUGGACCAGCAGCUCGUGGUGGUGCCUCCGCGGCCAUGUCUAGUAAAACCCCACAGUCAAACGUAAUACUCCGGGCCCUCUCCCUAAGCUGCAUCCUCAUAGCGAAGAGGUGCUGGUGUGUGUGUCGAAGAUCCCGCUCCAGGUCCCUAACGCGCAACGCCUGCCAACGGCUAAACUCUCUAGCCUCCUCCAGCUGCGCCCUCAAAGUCUCAACUGUCCUGCCUAGGUGAUAACGCUCGUCAUCCAUCGCUAAAACAACCUCGUCAGGAUAGCCAUAGGUAUACCAGCACUCACAGGGUCGGCGCGACACCUGUCCAAAAGGGGAAUACAAACUAUAAGGCUCCCCAAGCCUCCUCCGAUAGCGGAUCGCCCGCUUACGCAGCACCCGGUCCUCUGGGCCCCUCGCACUCGGAGGUCUCGGUCCCGGUCCCAUGCCGCUAGAACUGCCCGGAUCCAUACCUACAAACAUUAAUUCGUUAGUUAACUGACAUUUCAACUUAAAAUAUAUCAUUCAUCUUAAAGAGAAUAAUGUAUCCCUAAGGCCUAUCACGUAUGUCCCACAAUUGCCCAAGUCCUCUAACCUAGGCGCUCUUAUUUCGUUCGUAUCCGGGCCCAAGAAUCCCAUCCAAGAUAAUUCACAACUCGAGCCGGCCGGUCCCAAGCGUAAAUCAUCCUUAUUAAAGAUUCCUACCCGACAUACAUACUUAACUUCCUCAUGUCCCAUGUUAAUGAUCCUUACACUAAUGACAUGCACAGUUCAUAGCUUACGCUCAAAAGAGCACUUAUACCUGUAAACACUUUCACCAAAAGCAGGACCAUAACAUCCCUUUGCCCCAGUCUCACUCCGCGCAGAGACCACGCGAAGUGGCUCUGAUACCAACUGUAACAGCCCCACUUUCUCCUAAGGCGAACCAAAGGGGUUAGCGGACUGCCUGCCCAGCUCUCGCCAGGACUACGGAUCAGUUCACAUCGAUCUAAUACGUUCCGGAACAUACCCACGCGCGCAAACAAGUCAAAAUCACAAAAUAAAGAAAAAUGAAAAUCGAAGCCGAUGAUGAACAGUACCGGCCAUGUCCGAAUCCGGAUACUAGGCCGGGAGUAGCCAAAUUUAUCUUUUGCCGUUUGAAAUACAAGUUAAUCAGAAAUCCAACCAAAUGUCAACCAACCAUUAAUACAUUGCAAUUCAACAUUUACAACCAAUUUGGCAUGCCAAAAGCUAUUCAAAAUAGACAUAUACAUGGCUCAAUUUGGCAACCAACAAGUAUGAUCUUCCAAAAAUGAUCAUUUUCCUGUAAGGAAAACAAAUGGAACGGAGUGAGCUAAAGCUCAGUGAGCAACUAUCACACAAUCAACCAAAACCACUUAAGCAUAACCGUUCAUUUCAAGUAUACAAAUAAGAAGCAAAACAAAUCGGUAAAAGGAUACGGUCGGCUCUCAAGAGCCCAUUUCCACGCUUACAUUCUUGAUCCAAACCCAUUGACCCUCCGUCAAUGUUAAAAGUACCAAACCGUAGACCUCUCUUCACUUCCAUUUCUUCCACCCAACAUACCCCAACCGGGCCCGCACUCCAAGCAGUAAUUUUAGGUGAUACUCGAGUACACCGGAACCAAGGGUCUCAUUACCACAAGAUUCCCAUUUCAGUCCCCGUGGCUAGUCAAUUUUCACGACCAAGCCCUCGCUGGCUCGAUUCAAUUGACUCCCAACGGAGUCGAGCUCAGUAGUACAGUAGGGCCGUUGGAUACUCGUCCAACCGACACCCAAACAAUAUCAGUACAGUAAUUCAUAUAGCAGUACAGUAAGACAGUGAAACGGUAAACAGUCAGUCACAAGAAUAAAAGGAAUGAGGGCGGUCAAGUACACCCUCACCCUAAUCAUUUCCAAUAGCCAAACAAGCCUUCAAGGCAUCACAUUAGCAUAUAGCAAAGCCACAUUAUAAACAUCCAAGUGAGUAGUAUACUCACCAAUUAAGCAAGUGAGGUUUCAUGCACCGUCGUCCCUAGUACGUCGUGCACUAACGUCACGCCCUAGAACAUGUAAACAAAUACCAUAAGACUUGAUAACGAGUCAUAAAGCCAAGCCAAUUAUAACCCAAUAGGGUUUCAUAUGCAUAAACAAGCAUAAUAGCAAACCAGAAAUUUCAGCAAAGGGAACUCAUUUGAUCCAACAACAAAAACAGUUUUCGCCUCCUAAUGCGGUAAUGGUACAAAAUGCGCUACGCUUAUCAGAUGAGGGCAUAAGACCCACCAUCUCGAAGCUAAAAGACAGGGCUACAACAAUGUAGAAGGCCACUCAGUCCAAAUCCUAGCACAACUAGGUCAAAAAUGCAGAAAACCAAGCCAGAACCGUAAUUGCAGGUUCCCAAAUCACACAAAACUGUAAUCAGUCCAAGUCAGUCUAUACAGGUCCAAAUGCAUUGAUUCCAAAGGAAUAUGAUAGCUAAGACAUCAAGCUACAUUUCAUCAGAAGACACCAUCACCAAAAUCCAAAUAAAUUCCAGUAAAAAUGGCCAAUUACAAGUGCAGUUCGCACAUUCUGAUCACCCAGAACAGCAACAGUAAAAAUGACAUAACUCACUCUACACUACUCCAAAUGCCCUAAAAUUUUGUAGGCACUUCAAACUCAUCAAUACCUACAACUUUCAUGUUUUGAGUAAAGUCCAAUUCGGCCUAUAACCCUGUGAUCCAAAACCGGACAGAUUUAGGGGUUAUCAACCCUAACUUUUCUCAUUUCAAUCCAAACCCAAAAUUGGUUGCAUUUAUCACUAAUUCACACCUACUAGAGUCUUUCUAGACUAUUGCCAAUCAUCAAAGACAACCACAACAUCACAUUCAUAUUAAACCAGAAAAUUCCUCAAAAAUAUAAAAACUUCACCAAAUCAACUCAAAUCAAGAAAUAAAUCACACAUUCCAUCACUCAAGCCACCAUUAGGCACAAAAUAAGCAUCAUUAGAUAUAAGAGGAUGUUCAAUCAUCACUUACCUAGGAAACAAGAGAAGAGGAGUUGUAGACCACCUUAGCUCUUCCAAAAACUUCACCAAACUCACCACUAACACUAAAUGGAAAGAUUGUAUGGAGUGGAAACUAGUUGGUGUGAUUGAUUUGGAUGAUUUGAGCUAGUGGAAAGCUUGAAGAUUGAAGAAGUUUUCUUCCUUCUUGGCAAGAGAGAGGGCCGGCCACAAGGUGAAAGAAAAUGGUGAUUUUUUUGUGAAAUUUUUAGAUAUUUAACCAAUUUUGGUCAAAAGUCAAAAAAAGUGAAUAGUGUUCUUAAGUCAAAACCAAUCACCAAGUGACACGUGGCACUUCAUUAAUGCAUUCCUAUCCUUUCUUUUCUCUCUCACAUCAAUCAUUUCGCACACUCUACUUAUCUCUUAACACCCGAUAAAUUUUACACAGUAUCCGAAACUUAACCUUUUUGGCGGAAUUUUUUCGAACUAUUCGCACUAGUGGGGCCUACGUCCAUUAUAUAUCCGUAAUUUUUCAAAAACUACCCAAUGCUAGAAAAAUCAUCUAAAAACUAUAAUAACGCAUAAAAUCCACCAAGAAAAUUUUCCUAGCCAGAAAAUGCAGAAAACAUGCCAUUAAAGGGGAAAAACCCUAGGAAAAACAUUAAGGGAAAAUACGGGUUCUCACAAGAUGGCUCUAAUACCAUUGUGAGGAAUCUUAUGAGUAUGCCCAAUAAAAAAAAUUAAAGCUUUUGAUUCUUUUAGUAGGUCAUUCUUUGAUUAGUUCCAUGUGACAAAGAGUUAGUUUAAGAAAACUACCUCAAAUCGUAAAAAUCUUCUUAAAUUGACGAAGAUUUGAUGCAAAAGAAGUCUAAAAGAUCUACUCAAGCCACGCAUGUGCUUAGCCUCUAACGAUGAUCCACACGAACUCCAUUAGUUAGAAACCUUCAAGGUAGAAAUUGCUUAAGUUAGAAAAGUGCUAAUUUAUAGUCAAGGUCUAAUACAUAAGUUGUUGUAGAAGAAGAUAAAGAAACUUUCAGAUUAGAUGAACCCCAAAAUCGGUCAAAGAAAAGAGUGAAAGAAAGUUGUGUACUUCUCUCACUAAGUUGCCAAUUUUUCUUCUCAUUCUUUCACUAGAUUUUUUCUAAAUUCUCACACAACUUUGUUAGGCGUUCAUGAAUCUUGCUAUCAUAAGCACUUAGGUAUAUAUAAACAAAUAGGUUAAUUGAAUCCAUAUGGAAAUAAAAAAUCUGAUGCUAUUGAAUUAGCUUCCUUAGUCUAACAGAAUUUUUGUCUUAGAAGACUUAACCUUAUUUACACCAUAAGUCUCUUAAGUUUAAUUUGUUUACAAAUUAAAUUAUAACUUAUAAAAAUUUAUAUUUCAAAUCCCCACUUGAAUUUCUUUUUAUCUAAUUAAAGAAGUUCUUAAUGUAUGUGAUCCAUCAGGUUUUUAUGCAUGCUACCAAUAAGUUAUUCUUAUAGAUCAAGAUUAGCAUUUAGCAAUGCAUCAUCACCACCAAAGUGAAGAGAAUAGUCAAGUUGAUGAUAUCACUUAUUCAAUGAAUAUUUUCAUGUAAUUAAUAUCCAUCACCAAUUUAUCUCAUAUUAGUCUUAAAGUGUGUGACCGCUCCACAUAUACUAAUAUUAUAUCCUUAUACCAAAAUAUUACUCUAAUGAAAAACUAUUUAGAACCCUUUUUUAAGACCUUUCUAUUUGAUGCUAAGAAUUUCGAGUUAUACUUCUACAAAUGGCUCACAAUGAGAUAACUCCUAUAGAAGAGGUGGUACAUCAUUUUAAAUUAUUUACCAUCUCUAUAUGGUUCAUACUAUACCCAAUUACUAAUGAUUUAAGCCAUUUAGUUACGAGAAAUAAUUAAAUAGAGUCAAAAUAUAGUAAUUAGCACUCAAGAUAUAAUGGUAAUCCUAAGUCUAAAAAUCACUUGCAUAAAGCAACUAAGCGAACAAUUCUUUUAACGUUUUUAAGGAUAUCUCUAUGCAAAUCAGUCUAACUAGUUUGUGGACUAAGAGGGUUUGUUGGUAAAAAAUUUUCAAGUUUUUAUUAAAACCCAAACACCAUAAAAUGGGUUUCUUAAAUUGUAGAUUGCUUUGGCUUUAAUAUGUUAUUUUAUUUGUUGAAAUUUUUGAUAAACUAAUAUAACAGUGGCAUUGUAGAAUUGGAGAUGUUUGUUUUGCUAUAUUUUUCAUGAAUUUUGGUGAUGGUUUUGUUGAGUUUUAAAAAAAUAAAGACCCAGUUGUAAAUCGCUUUUUUGGGUACUUUUUGUUUGUUUUUUGCAAAAAAUAAGGCAAAAAAUGAAUUCUACAUGAAAAAUUGAAUGAAGAGGUGAAUUUUGGUGAAUUUGAGUGAUUGGUGAAGUCGCUUGCAAUCAACGGCCACUAGCGAUCUUUGGAGCAGCCAUUGUCACCGAUGGAGAACUUGCUCUGAUAAAAAAGGGAGUAGAAGACAGAAAGGAAGAAGAAAACAAAGCAAAAAAAGAAAGAAAGGAGAAGGCACUAAAAAAUAAAAAGGUUGGGCUAGAAUUUAUAUUUCAUUUGGGCUUGGCACUGGGUUUUGGAGUUUAAAUUCAAUAUCUUUAUUAUGUUUAAAUUUAUUUAGUUAAUUGAACUUGUUUGUUCUUUUUAAUAAAACAGUUUGUUUUUUACUUGUAUUUAUUUACUUGUACCAUGCUUUGCAUGUGGGAUAGGAGUUUAGUUACCCUAUGCCCGUCGUGUGUUAAUGGUAUUUAAUCCCUCCCCUCAAAAGAGCACUUCAUACAUGCAUACGUUUUUUUUAAACUCCUUUAUGUUUCUUUUUAGUGAUUGUCAUGCCAUUGUUCCUUAUUAAAAUUAGAAUUUAUCCACUUGAACAUAUGAUCGUGGCAUGACGUGCACGUAGUAGUGUUGGGGGAUCACUCGAGCCACCGAUCAGAGGCUUUGAAAUUGAUGAUCCUUUGCCUUUUGGUGAUUGAUGUGCACUUUUUACGGCUUCAUACGAGAUUCUGAGUACCAGAUCGACAAGGAGAAUCUCAUAAAAGAAUUCUAUGCAAAACAUAAUCAAGCCAAGAGACAGUGGUUCUUCGACAACUUCAAAUGAGAACCAAUGAAGGCAAUCCAAAAAGUUUUCUAUAGUUUCCUAGGAAGAACAAAAUAACAUAUUCAAUUUUUGAUUGGUUCGAGAUCUAUGUUCUUAGGAAUGAAAUAGGGUACCCUUUCUCGUCACCAAUCUGUGUUUGAAAGAAAUGGCAAACAUUAAAAAAAGAAAUUCGAGCAGAACUUCCUCCAUCAAAAUCCAUUGCCAUUUCAUACAAAUCCACAGAAAUUAGUGCCAACCCCUUUAAACUCAACAAUGCCCAAGAAGGAGAUCUUGUAGAUGCAAAAGAUAUACAGGGACUCUAUGAGCAAAACAACUAUACCAAUAAAUACUUACAAACCUAGGAGAAUACCUACUCACCAAGCCUUUUCAUCCACAACCACUUCCUCUUCCAAUCCUUUAUUUAGACCCUACGAAAUACCAAAUAAUUUCACAAAGAAUUCUAAAAAAAAAUCCAUGAGUGAACUUGAAAAAUGAAUAUCUAAAAUUGAACAAUUUUUUGUCACUCUCAUAAACAAACAACCAACUCGCCAAACAAUCAACCUGUAUUUUGGAAAAAUUUAAAUUAGAUAGUCCUGAACUCUCAAAGUCCUCUUUAGAGGUCAAGCAAAUGACUUGUAUUUUGGAAGAAUCUCCAAUAUUAGGCCAGUCCCCUAAACAAAUAGCUUUAAAUGAACCUACUCCAGAAUCUUUAGCCUCCUUUUCUAAACAAAUAGCAAAAUUCAACAUAUCCGAACCAUCCUAUAAUCCAAUGCCAAUUUGAAAAAAUCCCCAAAAACUCUAUUACUCUAGGCAACCUACUCGUAUGUCCUUAUAGAAGAAAAUCCAAAUAUCCUUCAAAACUUUUACAAUGUAAACAAUAUCUAUGAAUAAAGCAUAGAAGGGGUUUUUGAAUACAACAUAAUUACAAUCCUCUAGCAGAUGGCCAUGGUAGCCAUGGCAUACCGUACAAAACAUGGAUGUACUAACCAACUUGUAGCUCAUAUCCUUAAUACAAGAUUUAUGGGAUAGCUCAAAGGAUGGUGGAAUGAACAUCUUACUUUGAAGACAAAGAGAAAAUUCUAAAUGCAAUCAAACUAGAUGCAGAUAGAGAAGCAAUCCUAUAGGAUACAAAAAUUAUCUCAGAUACAAUAACAACCCUAAUAUUCACAUUCACAAAAACAUUCAUUGGUGAUACAAGAAUAUUCAGAAACAAGUCCUCAAAACUACUAAAUAAUCUCAAAUGCAACAAUCUUUUGGAUUUAAGAUGGUACAAAGAUACAUUCCUAACCCGUAUAUACUCAAGAUCAGAUGGCGAUCAAGCAUAUUGAAAGGAAAAGUUCUCAGGUAGUCUUUCCAAAUCAUUAAGAGACCCUGUCCGAGAAGAAAUCCGAAACCAAUAUGAUGAGGUUGUACCCAUGGGAAACAAUUACCUAUGGACAACUGAUCAAUCAAGCCCAACAAGUUACUCUAAAAGUUUGUAGACAAGACAAGAUGCUCAAAUAGUUUGCAAAAGACAAAGCACAAAGAACAAAGGACCUUGGUUCCUUCUAUGAACAGUUUAGACUACCCAAUUGCCAUACAACAACUAGAAGGAAACCCAAAUCUUUAUCAGAUCAUCUCAACACAAAAGAAAAUCCUUGCCCUAUAAACCUAGAAAUCCAUUACCUCCUCCAAAGAAUCCAAAUCCAACUCCUAUACAACAAUCACCAAUUUUACCAGCAAUCGUCUGUCAUAGAUAUAAACAACCUGCACAUAUAGGCAGAUAUUGCAAAUUAAACAAAAGAAUCAGCAGUUUUGGUCUUAAUGAACAAGUACUGAACCAAUUAUCCAACCUCCUUGCAGAAAUCGACAAUCACGAUUUAGAAUGUGAAGAAGAAAACUAUGCAAACCAACUUGAGAAUGAUGAUGUUUCAUCCUUGUCUACUCCCAAUAGUGAUGACAAUGAAAAAGAAGGACAAGCAACUAUAAAACAUCUUGACAAAGGAUUAGGACCUUCUACUCGACAUCCCAAAAACCAUUCCCGAUCCAGGAAAGAGACAGUUUUAUCUCAACAAAUUCAAGGAAUUCCUAAAUAGACCAUCGAGUAUUCCUUCAAACAUUUCCUCAAACUCAUUAGUCAGAGACCCCAGACUUCUUAAUUCAUAUAAUCUCGUAGACAUCCUUAAUUGAUUCCCAUCCGGGCCAAGAAAACCAAUAUCAAUCCAAGACCUUUAGCUUGAAAUUGCUCUUCUUAAAGAUGAAAUUAGAGCAAUUAAAAUAAAAGUGGAACUAGACAACCUUGUCCUAUAAAACCUUGCUACCUUACAACCAAAACCCGUUGAAACCAUACCAGAAAAUUCAAACACAUAAGAUAACACAGAAUUUCUAGACCAAUUGUCCAGAAUUUUCAACAAAAAAGUUGUUAUCCAAAUCAAAACAAUUAUCAGUGAUGAUUAUAUUCUUGAAAUAGAAGCCCUCUUUGAUACUGGAGCUAACCUUAGUUGCAUCCACAAAGGACUUGUUCCAACUAAGUUCUUUGAACAAACCAAGUAUGGACUCCGAAAUGCAAAUGGCACAAAACUAAACAUCCGUUUCCAAUUUUCAAACAUAACAAUCUAAUUAUUGUCAGUUUCAAUUAAAGAAACCUUCCUUUUAGCUAAAUACAUUACAAACAAUAUCAUUCUAGGAAUAUCAUUCAUCUUACCUCUUGUUCCUUAUUUAGUCACCCAUGAAGGAAUUGUUCCUCAAAACCUUGAUCCAGAUGCUCUUCUUUCUUUCUCCAAAAAAUUAAAACGAAUUCAGUCUUAACAAAUCUUCUUUCUAACCCUCAAAACAAAUAUUUAAUCUAACCAAAAAGAUUUCUUGUUUUCUCUUCAUUUUUGCAGGAAAAUGUCAACAGGGGAAAGCUCAACAUCCAACUCUAUCCCAAGAAAUGAAAGUUUUACAAGAAGAAUCAGUAAUUAUCAAAUAAGACUUUCAGAUGAUGUAAUUUCGCAUCUCAUGAUCGACCACAAUUCUUACCAAUAAGAAUGCGGGGAAGACAGAAUCAGAAACUAUGAUGUAUUCUACAACUCUGAGACUGGUGAUCGAAUCCCUCCAUAUCUCAUACAUGAACAUGACAAUGUCAGCAUAAGGCCAGCAAACUACACAAUUCAAAGCCUAAAGGAUCAAAACUUUAUGAAAAUGAGAAAAUUCCAAUGGCUAAUCCUUAACAAACACUGGAUCAAGAAUUGGGGAGUUAAAACACCAAAUUAUGAUGAAAUGAUUCAAGAAACAUUGGAAGAACUAUCCGUAACCAUUUAUUAAACAAAUCAAGCAGACUCAAUCGGAUUGAUUCUGUCCAGAUUUAAUCAAGAAAAUGAAAUUCUCAGCUAAAAUCACAAAAUGAAGACAAUUACAAUCAAAACAUAAUAUUUGCCAAAACUUAUUGCAGCAUCGGAAAUAUAGUAACAAUUCAACAAGUUACUAUGCAAACGCAGCAGCAAAAACUGCACUGUACAUUGUAGCAGUACUGUAGAGGUAGUAUACAUUGUAGCGGGUAUUGUAGCAGAACAAAAAAUUUACUAUAAAUAUCCCUCAAACUCAGUAUUUUAAACAUACCAUUUUUUCAGCUUACGUCUCUCUCUAAGUUGAAGAAAUUCUCCUCAUUCUGUCUAGAAUACAAAUUAUUUUAGGCUAUAGUUUGGGAGCAAACUUGAAUCAAGUGAAGAUCAAGCUUUCCUCAACCUUGUAAGCCUCUAAAAUUCAAUCUUCAAUAAACUUUCUUUAAACUUAUAUUAGUGUCUUGUGAAUGGCCGGUUGAGCCGCCUACAUUCUAUUGCUCUUUACUUUCUUUAAUUUCUUGUUAUAUUAUUGGUUGAUGGCUGGUUCAACCACCUAAACUUCUUAGUGACAAUUGUAGACACCAAAUUUUUUUCAAAUUUUUUCCACAUUUUUUUCACAAAAAAAAUGCAUAUUUUUAUCUGCAUUUUUAUUGUUUAAGUAAUCAUUUUCAUUUUUGUGUUAUUUUGUAGGAAAAUUAAAGAAAAGAAAGAAAACAAAAACUAAAAGUGCAAAAAAAAAAUCCCUCAUGCACGCGUGCAAGUUGACGAAUUUUCUGAGGUAGUAAAAUUGAAUUUUUGUUCCCUUUCUUUUCUCCCCAAGCAUAGAGGUACAAAAGGCCACCUCAUUCUUGCGAGAGUCAUCAAGAAACCUCUGGAAACAAGGUCAUCAAUUGCCCAAAAGAAGUCAGCAAAACCUAUUUUCAUCCUCAUCAUUAAGAGAAGGGUUUUGACAGCUUAGGGUCACUUAAAAAGAAAAAAGGCAGAAAAAAGAGAGAGAAAAAUCGAGAAAAAAAAGGAAAUUUUUUUUCUCUACAAACUUUUUUCCAAAAAAAAGGCUGAUCAUUCACCCCUGUUUAGGCUCGAUUUUCUCCUUCAAGAUAGCUUUGUUUAAGGAGAUUUUAAUUUUUGCACAAUCUAGGAACUUGGUAGAGCAAGUUUUGUUUAGAAAUCUUUUGCAAAAAAGGUCUAGAAACUCUUCGAAUUUAGCACCAAAGUUGCUGCUUUGACUUCGCUGAUGCAUGCUUGAAGCUUCAACAAAUUUGCUUCCAUUUGCAUUUUUCUUGUUCUAAUCUGAUCUGAAAUUAUCCUCAGGUAUUUCUACAACCUUUCCCUGUUUGAUUCAACAUUCAUGCAAGGGGUUUGAAUAUGCUCAUGAGAGAGUUCAUGUUUACGGAGCUUAGAUCGUCAUUUUUAAGUGAUUAUGUAAUCUUUCGGACUUUGUUUGAUAUUUGUUUGAAUCCAUAUGCCAUGAGUUUCAUGUAUAUGAAAAGAUCCGGUUAAGAGUUUAAAAAAAGGGGGUUCCGGCAAGAUUCCGGCCAAGUUGGCCCACCGGAAACUUCAUGCCUGCCGGAAAAUUUCUUAAUGAUUUUCUCUUCAUUUAUGCUCCUAUUAUUUUUGUUUUGUUUUGUUAUGUUACAUCCAUUUAGGUUGUAAAUGUUUAAUGAAACAUAUUUGUGGACUAAAAAAGUGGGCCAAGAAUUUAUUUCAUGCUUGGCUUGUGCAUGGGUUUUGGAGGCUCAAACCCAACGUUUUUAUCAAACUUAGUUUAGUAAAAAUAAGUGGACUGAUCCAUUUCCUUUAGUAGAAAUAAUCCGAUUUUCUUUGGGCCGAGGGGCUUAUGGCCCAAAAAAAUAAAAAUAGAAAUGGCCCAAUGUCAUUUUUCUAGUGAAAUCAGAAAUGAUUUUUCAAUUUGACCCCUAAUUUUUUGAGUAUUUUUAUUGUGGCCAUAAAAUUUUUAAUUUCUUUCAUUCACGUUCUUAAUUUAAUUAUAUUUUGGUCCCUAAACUUUAUUUUCUACUCAAUUUUGACCCCUAUUUUUUAAAAAAUUAUAAUGUGAUCCCAAAAACUUUUCCAAUUUUGCAAUUAGGUCUCUAAUCUUUAUUAUUUCUUAAUUGCAAUUGUUUAUCUUUUUUAAAUUGUCAAUCAUGCUUCAUUUAAAUGCAUCUAAUUUAUAAAUUUUUAGAAUUUUAUGUAUAUUAAUAUUUCUUUAAAAUAAUAAAGUGAAUUUGCUAUAUGUUUACAUUUUCUUUUAAAUUAUUAGUGAAAUUGGUGCAUUGACCAUUUUGUUGAUUUUGAAUUAUAAAUAGGAGAAACCCUACCUCAUUUAGCCACUACUUCAACGGAUGUACCUUCUAUUAUUUUUAAUUCUUUUUUUUAUGUACUCCUAUGUAUUUUUAUGUGUGAUUACAUAUUUUAAGUACCUUUUCUUUUAUUUACUCAUUUUAUUUAUUUUAAUCUUUCAUUUAUUUAAUUUUGAUGUUUAUUUGAAAGGCAUUUAAAUGCCAAAUUGUAAUAAAUAGGUUUUCCCCUUUUACUAAAGAAAAAUGUAUUUAGAUAGACAAAUGUAAUAGAUAGGUUUAUUAUUUUCAAAAAUUUCCCUUCUAAAUUGUAGUUAGGGUCCCUAAUUUAAUAGCUAGUUUUUAUUUGCUUGCAUACUUGUGUGCUUGUGUACUUCUGUGUUUAUUUGCUUUUUCUAGAGUUUUGCAUUUAGAUAUUAUGCCUAUAUGCUAUAUGCGCUACAUACUUUAUAUGCUUUAUGUGUUUAUUUGCUUUAAUUAUGUUUUAUAUAUUUUAUUUAUUUAUAAUGAAUACAUGACAUCACCAUACUAGUCCAAUGUUUGUUGUGGCCUUUCUUCCCAAUUUCUCACUAGUCCAAUUGUGACAGCCCCACCUUCCCCUAAGGCGAACCAAAGGGUUCGGCCGACCGCCUGCCCAACUCUCGCCAGGACUCACUCACUCACUCAUAGUUCAAGAAAAAUAACGUACAUCCAUAGAAAAUAAAUAACACAUCCACUUCAACUUAAUAUAUACAUUGAUGCUCAAGUCCAGAUACAAAGUUUCUACACACCAAACAAAAACUUCAAAGUGUUUACAUUUCGAGUACAAUCAACCCUAGUCGGGUACUAGCGUGAGUACAAUUACAAAAUUCAAAACAACUAGACUACGCUAGUCUGUGCAAGUCACAAGCCUCACUCGUACCCCCUGUAAGGAAAACGAAUGGCGUGGAAUAAGCUAAAAGUCCAGUGAGGUUCCAAAUAGCAAAUUGGUCAUCAAAUAAAAUAACAUACCAAGUUUAUGAAAAUGAGCAAUAACACGUCAAAUAGCAAACGUCAAAAUGAGUUUGUUUUCCAAAAGAACAAGAACACUUCGAAUAACCAUCAAAGUAUAAGGAUACAGAUGACUUUCAGAAGCCAAAUUUCCAUUGCAUGAUCAGGAGCUUGAUCACGUAAUAGUUGACACUCCGUCAACUUUCAAGUAAAGAAACCAAUCCAGUAGAGCACCACUUACACUACUCUCAGUCCACCAUUCAAACCCCCUACUGGGCCCAAAAUCCUCAAUAAACACUGAUGGUAAUACUCGAGUAUACCGAUUAGUCGAGGAGAUAUUACUCCACUCGACAAAACAAAAGACCCAAGAUUCGUUACCCAAUCGACCAAGCUCUUGCCGGCUCGACUCAAGUAACUCGCCACAGGGUUUCUGGAAUUCCAGGAAGUGCGCACCAUAUACACAAAUAUAUCAAUCCAUCGCAACAAUAAACAAUUAUAUCUCAAAUUAGGGCAAGUGCGAUAAAGUACACUCUUGAACAAACAAAUGACAUAUCAUUAAAUCACAUUGGUUAAGUAUUGAAAACAAGUGUCCAGUUCAAUCAGGUAUUUGGAAGCACUCACCAAAAGUAGUGUCUCUAGUGAUCGUGUCUGGGUUGUACUCCGGGUUUGGAGUCCAAAUCUACGAUAAAAUUUUGUUUAAGAACUUUAAAAAUCGACUAAGGUUCGAAACUUAGAUGUUUCGUUCAAUAAGAAUCAAAAAAUGAAAAUUCACUUGGAGAAUAUUCGUGAAACACUCGCUCGCUUUUCAAACUAUAUAACUUUGUAACAUUUAUACUUGGAAAUGCCAUUUGAGUCAAAAGUACAAGGAAAACGUAUUCCUAGUAGUCAUGAUUGUACUUCUCAAGGGUACAAGUUCGGCCAAAUCCUCACUGAUCUACCUCGAUAAAAUAAGACGCAAAUAUCCAAGAUAGUUCAAGUGGUAAUCGCUCUUAACCUUAAGUUGCAAGUAUGUCUACCUAGCCCUUGAGCGUAAAUUUGGGCAGCACGCCCUUUGUACUUUCCGAUUUUCAGCCAUUUAUGGCUUCAUUCUUUUCCUCAAUCAAUCCCACAGUUACACACCAAAUAAUCUCAUUUCAAUAUCCAUUCAAUAGGCUCAAAAUCAUACAAGUACAAAAUCAAGCUAAGGACAUGUGCGGAAAGGAAGUUUAGCACAAGACAGAUUUGACGUUGUUUUACGUAACGGACACAACCGAAGCUACGCUUAUCGGAUUGAGGUGAAAUUUAUACCGUUUCGAAGCUAAGGCAGAGAGGUACAACUUUGAUGAAGACCACCUAGUCCAGUUCGUAGUGCAUCUAGGUCAAAAUUUGAAAUUACUGAACCAGAAUCGUACAAACAGGUCAGUUAAUCGCGCUAUGUUUAAAUGACAAUAACUCAGGCUACCGAAGUCCAAUCGAGGUGAUUCCAAGGGCGUUGGAAAGCUAGAACAUAGCACUACAACUUUCAUGUUUUACCUAAAAUGCUAAUUCACUAUGAAUCAUGGUGAACAGGCACGGUCAAAUUGGUGAAAUGUCGAAACUGCCCCUAAAGUUCUUCCUAUGGCAGUCAGGGGUAUUUUUGUCUUUUCACAUGCUACAGUGCUCGGAUUGAACUGCAAAUUUACAGGAACUAUAAAAAAAUCAUUCUCUAUAACUUUCAUGUUUUAUGCUAAGCCUAAUUCGGCCUCUAACAUGGUGAACUAGAACCGGGCAGAACAGGGUGCGUACUAACUUCAAUUCUGAAAAUUUGCUACAAUCAAGAUAGAAUUCCCAUUUCUAGUUUAAAACCAUUACUACCACCUCAUAUACAAGCUUGUAUACAUCAUAUACCAUCCAUACAACAAAUAUGAGAAGGAAACCAUUCAAACCCUAACUCAAGUUCAUCACCCCAAUCAUCCAAAUUCUCUUGAUUUAAGCAUUACAACCACAAAUACAAGCUACUAAGCAACUCCAACAUGAUUAAGGGAAAAGGAAAGGUUAGUCAGCCAUUAUACCUCAAGACAAGAGCUUUCAAGAGUUAUCCUUCACUUCCCUUUGCAAACUUUAGCUCCCUAAGCUUCCCAAGCUCUCAAGUUGUAAGCUAAUCGGUUUAGUUUCCUGUUUUCACUCAAACAAGGCUUGAUUCAAGAUGAAAUUGAAGUUCCUUUCUCUUGCUUUUCUCUCUCUCUCUCUCGGCUGGUAUGGUGCAAAAUGAAGAUCAUUUUGAGUAGUUUUUAGUGAUAAGGAUGGUGGAAAUUAGUUGGUCAAUCAAGCCAUGGAUGACCGCCACUUCUCACAACCAAUUUGCAUCUCAAUUUUUUUUUCUUUUCUCUCCUUUUUGAGUCAAUAAUUUCGGCUGCCAUAAGGGAUAUUUUGGGGCUGAUAUUAAUCACUUAAUAGUAAGGAGAUUAAGGUAAUAAAGUAGUGUUCAAGUGGUGCACUCACUCGGUAACAAACAAUACCCGUCGGUUCAACCCGUUUUUUCUUAAAUCGCGUAUACUAGGGUUUUAACUUAUAAUUCACUAACUUAUUAUUAUCACCUCUAAUCCCACACUUAAUAUCAUCUAAAACUCACUUUUAAUCACCAAAUUUGAUCCACACUUCGUACCGGAUGGUCGCACUACGGAUAGGCGUAAAACUCUAAUUCGCGUUAACUUGAAAACGAAAAGUGAAACCCUACUUUCUAGGUUCAUUUGCACUUAUUGUGGGGUGAUUGAGUAGUAGGGCCAUUAUAAAGUAAUAAUUUCCAAAUAAAAGGACAUUUUGAAGAAAAAUAUAAAGAAUUUGCAAGUCCUCACACCAAUACUAAUGAGGACUUGUAAAAAUGGAUUAGUCUAAUACUAGACCCUUUUGAUCAUUUUCGGGCGUUAGAUUCAUACCUUGUGUGACAUUUAUUGCAUCUCAUGCAUCUUUUUUUUCUAUUUUUAUGUUAAUUUUGUUUGCAUGAUAUUUCCCUACUAUUAUUCACUUAUCCUCUAUGUGUUUGAACUAUAUCAUUUAGAUAAUUAGGAAAUAGUUUAGUUCAUUUGCUUAUCUAGAUUAGAAGAGUCACCCUUCGAAUAUGGGAAAUAAACAAGUAUGACUUCUUAGAUUUAGCACGCUCUUAUCCCCUCUAUAAGAAAGAAAAUUGAGUCACAAAUUUUAGUCUCUGUACCCGUUAUGUUGUAUCUCUCUUUUUUUAUAGGUCAUGUAAAUAUCAUAAUUUUCUUUUUUGAGUCUCAUUUUUGACAUAUUUGUGACCACUUCAAGAGAUCAUUCUUGGUCUUUACAAUUCAUGUGAUUUGCACUAAUUAAACCUUAAAGAGACAUUUCGUCCCCCCUCAAUACCCUCAGAUCUAGUUUGUAUUCAUAUAAAAAUAUCCAAAUAUGAUAAGUCUUAUAAGUUAGAUUAGGAAAAUUAUUGACUAAAUCUCGCAACUAAUUUUGACUAGGUUGAAAGGGUGCCUUAGAUUCAAAUCAAUCAAAUCUUUGCCUUCCGUUUCUUCAACCAUGACUUUUGAACUCUUUUAUCUUGUUUUCAAAAAUCUGAAGUCAUCUAAAAAAGUUUUUUUUCCAUUUUUCAUUAGAAAACAUAUUUUUUACCUAAUUUGGUACACCUAAAGUUCAUAGCAAGUGACGACUCUACUUUUUUCUUAAAAAAACCUUUUUAGGAUAUUAUUUUGAUCCCAAACUGUCGCAUUUUCUAUGUUCCAUUUUAGGCUCUUUUCCUCCUAAAAUCAAAUAAAACUUAUUUUUCUAUGUUUUCUCUUCUGUUUUAAAAAAAUUGGACACGAUAGUUUUGGCGACUCCACUGAGAACUUCUAGUGAGUCCAAGCAUUUGGUUUAGUUGAUUUUUUUUCAUUUUCUAACCUGUUUUACAUACACAUUGGGAUGCUUUAAGUUACAUUUUUUCCCUUUUCUUUUACUUUUUAGGAUUUUUUACAUUUCACAUGCGUAAUCAUCUCUCCUUUUCUGUGUAUGUGAUAAAUGAUUUGUUCACCUUCAUUAUGUUAUCGUGCUUUUGUAUUUGGGGUCGAGGGAUGUCACCUUAGAGUUUUCAUGUGUGCUUAAUAAUAUUUCCUUCCCUCAAAGGGGCACUUCAUACGUGUAUAUGCUAUUCCUUUUUGAACCCUUCAUUUUAUUUUCUUUUAGUAGUUGUCACAUCACUCCUCCCUAUUAGGAUUAGAAUCGAUUCGUCUGGACAUAUGGUCGUAGCACGACGUGCACAUAGUAAUGUCUAAGGGAUCACUCGAAUCAUCGACUGAGGGUUUUGGGAUUGAUUAUCCUUUGCUCUUUGGUCUGAAGGUUUGAGAAUCUGAAAUCUUGUCAAGUUCAGAUGAUUUAGUGAACCCAACCUUUAUGUAUCCAUGUUAGAGAUCUAGAAUAGAAUCAACCUUACCUUAUUAGGAACACUAAACACAAGAGGAGUGAUUCUACCCCUCAUUCUUUACCUUAUAUUUCUAUAUCAUUUUAUUGCUCCUACGUGUUAAACUAACAUUUUUUAUUUUCUCUUCUCUUGCAUUCACAAACCUUAGAAAUGAGAGUCUUUACAUGGUACUCUUUUAAGAGCCUACCUUAGUAGAUAGAUUAUUACAUAUUUAAAUUAAAGUUUAUUGCAUUAGUGUCCUAGUAAUUACACAUCAUUUUUAGAUCUACUCUGGUAUAUAAAAAGGGUUCCUUUAGGCCAUGUUUAAAUUUCGUUAUUGCAUAUUUACUUAUUUUAAUAAACUGGCAUCAUGCAUUAACCUUAGAGAGAAUAACAUUUAGGGAAUCUCAUUUUUAGGAUUAUGCCAACCAUUUCUCUCCUGGGUAUCUAACCCUCUAUAGGGUUUUCACGUUUAAUUUUGUCAAAAAUUAGAGAAGUAUGGCCCAUAGGUAAGGUAUUUGAUUCGAACUUUAUGUUUCAGGUGGACAAUUCUCGACGAAAUAAACAAUUAUUGGUAGCUCCAAUUAACGUUCGGAGAUGGCCCGCGCUUCUCUCAUCUAGUGAAAUUCAUUAAGUGGCGUCUCACCUAGAACCGAUUGGAGAUUUUAAGGACAUUGAAUCAGACAGUUACUUGGUAGAGAUUUUGAUACAAUUAUGAGAUCCUAGUUUUUCGGUAUUUAGAAUAGGAAACAAAGAAAUGGCUGUUACAAUCGAAGAAGUAGCCGGUCUUCUUAACUUGUCAGUAUAUGGCACAACAGUAAUUUUUUCAUUCGCUUCCGACAAGACUGAGUUCUGUCACUUCACCGGGUUGAAAGAGUAUGUAGUACAAGGGUCUAAUCAGAGCAUAGAUGUAAAUUUUUUAUUUGACAAAUUUGCACUAAGAGAUGGGUUCGAGAGACAUUUUGAGGACUUUUCGUUUACAUCUAAAAUAAUGUAGGAGUGCAAGAGACCGUGUGUAUAUGGACUCGUUAUAACUAGAAUCUAAGAGAAGGGAUAAAAGAUCAUUUUCAAAAUCACUAAAAUCAUGUUUGGUCUCUUUUUGACAAUUAAGAAUUAACAGUGUUUCAUAGUGCCAUCCAUAUUGGCCGACAUAUUUGUUGCUUGUACCAAUUGGCAGAGAGGGAUGAAAUUCUUUCAUGGUUUGAGUUUGAUUUUGCAUAUGUGUGUUAUGAGCAUUUUAUAAGACAAUUACCUAUUUUUGAUAGUUUACCCUUGAUUAAGUACAAUUGGAUAGUGACUAAUUAUAAAAGAGUUGACAGAAAUAGUCUGCCAAGAAGUGCAUUAGAGUAUUUGAAUUUCUUGAAGACAUUGCCAGAUCAAAGGAUUAUAUGGGUAUUGGAUUAGACUAACUGUUUCAACCCAGUUUUUCGCACAAAAUCAUCAGAUUUUAUACCAUUGUUAGGAACUUAAGGUAUCACGGCUUAUAUUCCAAAAAAUUUUUUUAGGCAAUUAGGACAUGUUCAAGGAUCACUACCCACACCCAAUUUGACUGAAUUUACAAUUAGUUUUGAUAAGAAAAUAUGUUCGAACGAAAUUCUAAUGAAGAUACCAAUUAUUGAGGCUUGGGGCAUGUUGUCGAAUAAUGAGAAUAUUGCCUAUAUUCCAAACUCUAAACAGAUAGCUUUAGUCACUCCACAAUACAAAGAUUGGCUUAGAAAUUUUGAUGCACAAAGACCACAAGAGAAGUAAUUCGUGGAAGUCAAAAAGGCUAAUGACUAUUAUUAAGGUAAAAGACAGAGAGAAUGUGCAAUUGAGACAAUCUAUAAAAGUCAACAAAGAUUUGGUGGAGAAGAAUAAAAAGUCAUGUGAGGAAAUGCAAGAAAAAUAUCAAGAGUUGAAGAGAAAAUACAGAGAAUUGUAUGAUCAAAUUGAGCGCACGAAGAACCCCUAUUCUAGGGAGCCAAAAGAUGCUGUAAUAGAUAGGUUGAAGAAAUUUAAUGAUUUUGUACAAAAUUGCCUUCAAGAAAUGAUAUACAUGAAUUUCACAAAUUUGGCAAUGAAAUGAGUUCCAUCUUUUGCAAAAUUAUUGAAAAUAAGUUUGAUGAACGGGCCCCACUUCAAAGGUAUUGCAUCAUAUUAGGCCAAUCCUUGGUGUCAAAGGGCACCACAACAGGACAUGCAUCCGAAUUAUUUAAAUAUUUACUAAGUCAUGUCCUUUUUCUUUUCCCUUUUUUUUCAAAGGAAUUGCAGCGGUUUAAUUAAAGAACGAACUUCUAAGUAGAUUUUUCUUCAUCUUUAGGUACGUUCAAACAUAACUACAUGUAGAAACCCUAUCAUUAUAAGAUCUAGUAGCAGAGUCUUGAGAAACCGUGUAAGCAUGAGUUCAUACUUGGAAUCAUCGGAAAGAUCUGCAAUGGUUACAUCAUCAGAUGUCAUGUCUUUAGAAGCCCAAUUGAGUGAAGUGUUGAACAAACUUAAUGAGUUAAGCAUAGAAAUGGCGGUGCAGAGACGCUUGAUUGAUCAAUUGAUUUCAAGCAGCCACGAUGGUGUCCAAACUGACCAUAUACCUGAUGACGGUAAUCAACCUGAGUCAGGUAAUGUUUAUCUCAGUCCGUAACUUUUGAUGAUUACAAAAAAAAUGGAUGUUAUUAAUAUUCUCUGAUUAGACCUUUUCAGAAUUGGAGCAAAAUAGGUUCAAAGGCUAACAUAUGCUGAAAUAGCUGUCGGACGCAUAAAAACACUGCAUCGGCCGUCCGACAACCAUUGAGUAUUUUCAAACACAUGAAGAACCCAGCCUCGGACGUCCGAAAAUGAUAAGCCAAGUCCUCUAAACUCGCUAACCUCAAUCGAAUGUACAACACCUGAGUACCGAAUGUCCAACAAACGUUACGACACUUCGGACGCAAAACAUUGGAGGCACCGGACGUCCGAAAGAAUUGAAGAAAAAUUCUCAGUUUUACAUCAUACCUUCGGACGCAUAUUCUGGAGGUACCGGACGUCCUAAAUAUUUCAAGAAAACUUCUUAAACUCACUGUCUGCGUUCGGACGCAGAAAACUAGCCUACUUGACGUCCGACACCACCAACGGCUAGUUGACUCUUCAGCUACCUUCUAUCCAUUGGUAGCAUUAAUUGAAGAAUUUUUUGGUCUCUUAUAAAAAAAAGUCAACCAUUUCAAACAACUUUUGCAUAUUGAGACUACAUCAGAUCUUGAGUGAUUCAAGUGUGAGAAUACUCUUUAAAGAAGAUUUGUACUCUUAAUUGUGUAACUUUUGAUAAGUUUUUCAAGUGUGUUUCUAUUUCUUCAAUAGUGUAGUUUUGUGAGGAUUAUCUGAGUAAUAGUAAAGUUUCCUUGCUUAAUCAAGUGUGGUUUGGGGCGAGGAGGAAGUGAUCAUUCCUUUAUACAUAAGAGAUUGGUUGUAAGUUGAUCAACUUGAAAAAACUUGCUAUAUAAAGUGAUUUUCAAACUCAAGUGGAGUUUGAAACUUGGUUUGCUAUUUUAUCCUUUUACUUACUGUCUUGCAAUAUAAAUUGUCUAUCUCUUCUACUCCCAAGCACUUAUGGUUUUUCAUCAAUUGCUCCAUUGUGUGGUCCUUUAGAAAAAGAGGGCAAGUUCUUAAAAAGUGACUCAUAUCUUGGCUAGUUUUUUAAACCAUCUAAUUCACCCCCCUCUUAGGUUAUUUUCGAUCCUUACAAUUGGUAUCAGAGCUUGGUUUCCUAGAGAUUAAGUUCAAUUGGCUUUGGAGUAAAAAUGACAACCAACAAUGCCAUAUUUUUUGAAGAACAAUCCGUCACUAGACCCCCAAUGUUCAAUGGAUCAAAUUAUGUGAGUUGGAAGGAGGGAAUGAUUAUUUUCAUACAAUCUAUUGAUAUUGAGUUGUGGUUUAUUGUCAAUGAAGGUCCAUAUGAUGCCUCUAUUAUUGAUGAAGUUACUCAUAGACCGAGACCAAAAACAUGGAGUGAGUUGACUGGUGAUGAUAGAACUCAUCUUACUUUAAAUGCCAAGGCUAUGAUUGUAUUAUACAGUAUUUUAGAUUUAAAUGAAUCUAUUAGAGUCAAAAACUAUAGAUCUGCAAAAGAGAUUUGGGAUAAAUUCAAAGAAAUCCAUGAAAGAAAUGAGAAUGUGAGAGAAUAAAAGAAAUCCAUUCUGGUCACUAAGUAUGAAUCUUUUCAGAUGGAAUCUCAUGAAAAUAUUAACAAGAUGUAUUGCAAAUUCAAUGAUCUUAUUAAGAACUUAGAAGUACUUGAAAAGGAUUACUCUCUAGGUGAGAAAAAUAGAAAAAUUCUGAAUACUUUAUCCAAGGAUUGGGAGAGUAAAGUGACUGCCAUUGAGGAAACUAAAGAUCUAAAUAUCUUGCCCAUUGAAUCUCUUAUUAAUUCUCUUACGUCUUAUGAGCUGCAACUCAAGUCCAAGGUGCAGGAGGAAGAAGAUACAAAGGUGAGAAAGAGUAUUGCUCUAAAAGCCUCACAAAAUGAAGAUGAUUCAGCCUCCUUAGAUGAAGAUGACAUGAAAGGUAAUGACAGUGAUAUUGCACUAAUCACAAAAAGCUUCAAAAGAAUACUCAACAAGAGAAGAUUCAGAAAAGGUGGACCCAACAAUUCAUUUCCAAAUCAGUUCAACAACUCGAGAAACAAAUGGAAGCUAGAGCUCAACAAAAAGCAAACUGAUAAGUACUUUGAAUGCGGCCAACUUGGACACUAUGCAAAUGAAUGUCCAAUAAAGAAAAGGAAGGAAAGCAAGGUUGAACGAAAAUUAAAAUUUAACAAUUUUCAGAUCACCUGGAAUGAUUGCAAUUCAGAAGGUGAAGUCGAAGAAGAAGAGGAGUCUACCCAAAUGGCUUUCAUGGCCAUUAGUGAUGAAGAGGUAACUACUUGUAACUCUCAAACUAAUAGUGAUAACGAAGCUGAUGAUGAUGUCAACUCUUUUAUGAAAAGAAUGUAUAACAGUUUGAAAGAAUCUUAUGUUAGAAACAAGGAACUAAAACAGAAAAUUAACUUUCUGAUUCAAGACAAUUCAAACCUUUUUCGACAAAACAAAUGUCUGAGAACCUGAAAAAGAUUAAAUAUGAUUUGCAUGCUGAACUUGAUAGAAAGACAAACUUCUGUGACAUGCUAAAAAAUGAAUAAAGUAGCUUGAAAAGAAGAAUGGAUGAUCUUAAUCAGAUGUUUCAACAUAAGAAACAAAACUGUUUUCAAAAUAAUGAUACAAAAUCUCAUUUUGGUACUCAUCAAAAAAGGUUGAAUCAUUGUACAAAUGAGUUUACUAUCUAUAGAAAAAGGUAAAUCAGAUUUAUUAAACCUGUUCAUUUGAAUAAUUCAUUGACUAUGUGCAGCUUCUGUUGUCAAUUUGGCCACAUAAAAAGCAAUUGUUAUGUUAGAAAAAAUAUGAGAAAUGGCAUGAGAUGUAUGUGAAUGGUUAGACAUACUACUAACUCUCAAAAACCCAAAAAAUAAAUGGUACCAAAUAUUAUCUUGUGGACUUUUGUGUAGGUAAACCUGGUGAACAUUGUUAAGGAAUCAAAGUGGUUCAUAGAUAGUAGAUGCUCAAGACAUAUGACUAGUGAUCCAUCACAGUUCAUCAAACUCAAGCCAAAAGCAAGCGGAAAGGUAACAUUUGGAGAUGAUAACAAAGCCAAAACUGUUGGAAUCGGUGAUAUUGAUAAGAAUGGUCAAACCUUUGUUCACAAUAUUCUUUUAGUUGAUAAUUUGAACUAUAACUUAUUAAGUGUUAGUCAAUUGUAUGAUAGAAAUCUGUUUGUAUUAUUUAAAAAGCAUGAAUGCCUUGCUCUUGACUCAAAGUUCAACACUGUUUUUAAAAAAAAAAAAAAGUUAAUUACAUUUAUGUAGUUAUCCUUGAAAAAGUUGAUUCUUCUAGCCUUAGUUGUCUCAAAGUAGCAAAUGAGGACCCUUGAUUGUGGCAUAGAAGACUUUGUCACUUCAAUAUGGAUCUGCUAAAAGAAAUUUUUAAAAAGGAACUUGUUAGAGGGCUGUCAAAGAUCAAAUUUGAAAAGGACAGAAUUUGUUAUGCUUGCCAAUUUGGAAAACAAGUCAAAGUGUCUAUUAAACUCAAGAAAUGUGUUUCUACUACAAAACUUCUAUAACUUUUACAUCUUGAUUUAUUUGAUCCUACACAAAUUACCAACUUAGGUGGCAAAAGAUUUUGUUUUGUUGUUGUUGAUGAUUAUUUUAGAUACACUUGGAUGAUGUUUCUUGCACACAAAGAUGAUGCUUUCAAAAACUUUGUUUCACCAUUUGCAAAAGUUCAGAAUCUGAUUGGAUUGAAAACAUCAAAAUCAGAAGUGACAAUGGCUCAGAAUUUCGUUUUCGUGGCUUUCUAGAAUUUUGUAACAACAAUAGUAUUACACAUGAAUUUUCAAUUACAAGAGUUUCCCAACAAAAUGGGGUUGUUGAAAGAAAAAAUAGAACUCUUCAAGAGGCUGCUAGAACCAUGCUAAGUGAAUGUAAUUUGGCUGAAACUAUAAAUACAGCUUGCUAUACCAUGAAUAGAGUUUUUUUAAGACCAAUCUUGAAAAAAACCUCCUAUGAGCUGAUGUUUGAUAAAAAGCCUGUUGUUGGAUACUUUAAAGUCUUUGGUUGCAAAUGCUUCAUUUUAAACAUCAAAGAACAUCUCGGAAAGUUUGAUAAAAAAUCUGAUGAGAAAAUUUUCUUGGGAUAUUGUGAGAAUAAGAGAGACUUUAGAGUCUAUAAUCGAAGGACUUUGGUUAUAGAGGAAACUAUCUAUAUCACUUUUGACAAAUCUAAUGGUGACAUUUUCAUAAGUAGUGGUGAAGAUGAUGAUGCAGGCAUAGUUAUUAAACCCGGCCCAGCGGUUCGAUCGGUCAACCCGGUGAACCGGCCAUUAAACCGGGCCGGUUCGCUAAUUAGAUCGUUUCUGCAGGGGAACCGUUGACUUUUCAACGGAUUGGUGGUUCAACCGGAUUAAAUUGGAAACCCAGUCGGUUUUGUGGGCAAAUCGAGUUCGAGGAAAAAUAGUCUUCCAAAGGUUUUGCUUGGAUUCAACCCCUCGACCAUUGGAUAAGUAUAUGAGAAAGCUCACCGCCAGACCACUUUGUCACUUGUUGAAUAAUGGUCAUUCUUACACUAUAUGAAUGUUUUGUUGAUUUUAUCUUUAUUUUUUUAUUUCUCCAAAACAAAUUUAUUUGGAAUCUUUUAAUAAAAAUUUAUGACCCCAAUAUUCUAUAAAUUAUAAAAUAGAUUUCAAAAAUAACAUAUUACAUAAUUUAUUUUAAAGACAAAUAUUGUUAUUAAUAAUUUUUUGCACUUAAAAUUCGUAAAUAACCUAGAUAAUUAUAGUAAUAUAUAAAAUUUUAUACUUGAAUUUUAGUGGAUUAUUAAUUAAAUUUAUGUUUUGCUGAUUCUUAUAUGAAUUAAAUAUUCUAUAGCAGAUUAAAUUAAAUAAACAUUUAUUAUGACAUUGUUUAUUACAAUUUAUAUCAUAUAUCCUAUAUCAAAAUUUAUAAGAUAUAAUAUUUAAAUAUAUUUAGUGAUCCACUGGUUCAACGACUCACCCACUGGUUGAACCAAUGACCCGUUGACCCACCUCCUUUGUCGGUCACCUCUCCGGGCCGAGUUUAAUAACUAUGGAUGUAGGUAUUCAAGAAGAACUAAAGAAACUCACAAUUACUGACCAAGGUAUUGCUUUACCAGAAAAUGAUUCAAAGGAAGAUGAAACUCAAGACAGUCCAGCAAGGGAAGACAAUGACAGAGACACUAGUACACCUAACGAUCUUCCAAGAGUUUGAAAAUUUGUUCAAACCACCCUAAGGAGAUCAUCAUUGCUGAUCCAUCCGAGAAGGUCAGAACUCGUUCCUCUUCUAAACAACUGAUGGAUAAUUUUGCAUUAAUUUCAUACUUUGAACCCAAAAAUGUUGUUGAUGCAUUGAAAGAUGAGAAUUGGAUUUUAGUUAUGGAAGAGAAGUUAAAUCAAUUUGAAAGAAACAAGGUGUGGACAUUAGUUGUUAGACCACAAGAUCAUCCUAUCAUUGGCACAAAGUAGAUUUUUAGAAACAAAAUGAAUGACAAAGGUGAGGUAGUAAGAAAUAAGGCCAGACUUAUAGUCAAGGGAUAUACUCAAGAAGAAGGAAUUGAUUUUGAUAAAUCAUUUGCACCCGUAACUAGGCUGGAAUCAAUUAGAAUGUUUUUGGCCUUUCCAUGUUUCAAGAAAUUUAAAUUAUUUCAAAUGGAUGUUAAAAAUACUUUCUUAAAUGGAUUUAUAGAUCAUGAAGUAUAUGUUGAUCAACAUCCUGGUUUUCAAAAUGAAAUUUAUCCAAAUCAUGUAUUUAAACUCUCAAAAAUUUUGUAUGGAUUAAAACAAGAGAGCAUGGUAUGAACGUUUGAAUGGUUUUUUGAUUCAAAAUGAUUUAAAAAGAGGCAUUGUGGAUACUACUCUUUUCACUAAGCAAGGUUCACGUGAUUUUUAAAUUGUGCAAAUAUAUGUGGAUGAUAUUAUAUUUGGUGCUACUAAUGAGAGCAUGUGCAAGGAUUUUUCUAAUAUCAUGCAAAAAGAGUUUGAAAUGAGCAUGAUGGGAGAAUUAAAUUUCUUCCUUGGACUCCAAGUGGUACAAACCCGAGAAGGAACGUUCAUCAAUCAAACAAAAUACAUCAAGGAGCUGCUCAAAAGAUUUGGAAUGGAGGAUUCAAAGCAGGUCAGAACACCUAUGUGCACACCUACCAAGUUUGACAAUGAUGAAAAAGGUACAAAAGUUGAUAAAAAGAAGUAUAGAUAUAUGAUUAGUAGUUUGCUUUACUUAACUGCUAGUAGACCUGAUAUCAUAUUUGUUGUGUGCUUAUGUGCUCGUUUUCAGUUUUGUCCAAUGAAUCUCAUUUAAAUGUAGUAAAAAGAAUUCUUAGAUAUCUAAAAGGAACCUUGAAUUUUGGCAUAUGGUAUCCUAAGUGUCAUGAACUUCCUUUGUGUGGAUUCUCUGAUGCUGAUUUCGAAGGUUGUAGAGUUGAUAGAAAAAGUACAACAGGUAUAUGUAACUUUCUUAGAAAUUGCUUAGUAUCCUGAUUUAGUAAGAAACAAAAUACUAUUUCAUUAUCUACAGCUAAAGCGGAAUAUGUUGUCGCUGGAACUUGUUGUACUCAAUUAUUAUGGAUGAAAAACACAUUGAAUGAUUUUGGAUUAGUGUAUGAUUAUGUACCUAUGUAUUGUGAUAACACUAGUGCCAUCAAUUUGACAAAAAAUCCCAUACAACAUUCUAGGACUAAACACAUAGACAUAAAGUAUCAUUUCUUUCGCGAUCUUGUUAAUAAGGGUGAAAUUUGCGUUCAAUAUGUUUGUUCUAAAGAUCAAAUUGUUGAUAUUCUCACAAAAUUCCUACCAUUGGAUCAAUUUGUGUAUCUAAGAACAAAACUGGGCGUCUCAAAAAAAGUAUUCUAAAAAUUUUCUGUCACUCUUUAUUAGACGUCCGAUGAGUUAGAACGGACGUCCGACAAUGUUUUUCAUCAUUUUUUAGAAAAGUUUUGGUUCGGACGGUUGUGUCUGACGCUUCACUUCGUUCGGCCGUCCGACACUCAAAUGUUGCGUCUUAUAAAGAAGUCAUUUACUUCAUUCAGUUCAUUUACAUUCUUAGUCUCGGACGCAACCUUUCAUUUCUCUCUCAAAUUCAAAAUUCAAAAUACUCUCUCUUCCAAUCAAGUUUCAAGAAAUUGAUCCAACCGACACCAUUACAUUCCUAUUGUCCGUUUACUAUCCCUCACAACGUCUCCUAACUCCCAACUGCCCCAAAAAUUUCAAUUCACACCCGAAACCCUAACUUCUUAAAAUCCACUCCUUGUGCUCGAUUCAAACAUCAAUUGUAGUUCAUAUUGCAUUAUUAGUCAAUCUAAUACACAUCUACACUACACUCUACUACAAAAAUCAACUGCAUUAUGUCAUGGUGAAAGUUAGAGGUGGUUCUGCGGGUGCCGGACGCACUUUCAGACUUAGAGAUGAGGAGGUUGAAAUUGUAGAACCCUCCACUAGAGCAUCUAAAAAGAGAACUGGAACUCGUGGUGGAAAGGUAAAGCAACCUGCAAAGAAGAAACAGGAUGCUCCAACUGUUGAUCCAUCCCCUGAGCAGAUGGACGAGCAUCAAACCGAAGAACAAAAUGCUGAAGAUUAGCAAACUCCUCAACCCUCUACCAGAAAGUCACCAAGGACAAGGUCUGGUGUUCAGGAUAAUGGGUCAACUGCUAAACGAAGUGCAAAGAGGAAAUGUUCUUCAAAGGAACCAGAGGCUCAACCUGCUAGGGAACCUACCCCAUUGCCAAAGUUUAUAGAUGCCGAGGCCAGAGAUCGGUUCGAGUUGAUCACAUAAAAAAGAUUCAUCACUCAGAGGUCUAUCAUUCCUUACGAAUUUCGUAAGCUUGAUCUCGAACCAGUUAUUAAAUUUUUUGAAUUUCAAAAAUAGAUUCAUCUUCUGACCAUUCCCAAUACUUUUUACCCUGAUAUGCUUCAUCAAUUUUUUGCAAAUCUUAGGAAGGGUAAUUCAUACACGGAACUUAUCUCUAGAGUCAACUCUGUUGAUAUCAUAUUAACUCCUGAUGUUGUCAAUUCUGUCUUGAAAAUCAAAAUUGAAGAUAGUUAUAAAGAAAAAAUUGUAAAUUUCUUCUCAUAUGAAGAAUUUUCUACUGCUUACCAUCACUUUCACUUUACUAAACUGAUCACUUACUUUCACACUCAUUUUAAUACUCCUGCUAAGAUGAGAUUGAAGGAUCUCAGUCCUCAAAAUUUGAUCAUUUUUACCAUUAUUUCAAAUUUGUUGGUGUCCACUGAUGCAAACAAAAUGAAACUUUAUCUGUUUUACUGUUUUGUUGAAAAAAUCAGAAUUGAUUUUGGUUUUGUAAUGUGCAACUUUUUGCUCAAAAUUAGUUCUGAUAGUCGUAGGAAGCUUUUUUAUGAAAAAUUUCUGACCCCUAUCUUUGCUCACUUUGAAAUUCCCUUCACUGGGAAGUCACGUAAAGAUAAUGCAUCAUCAGUUUUCUCAAAGGCAUAUUUUGAAAGGAAAAAUUUGAAAUUUUUUGAGGGCCAUUAGUGUUACAAGGAAACUGUUCAGAGUCUAGGAGAAAGAACUUUCAUGAAACUCCUGUUACUCCUAGGACCUCUCGUGAUCAGUCCAUGUAUGUCUCACCUUUUACCAUUCACCUUAGAAAGUUAGCCAACAAAUCUUUCUCAUCCAACUUUGAGGUCAUCUCUUUGCUUGAGAAUCUUAAACAACAUAUUCUACUCAUUGAAGAUGAUCUAAUGAUGACCAUGUUACCCGACCGAUAGGCUACCUUCAUUGAGAAAAGGAAUCUUCUUGUGCUUCCCACUCCUGUAGACAAUGGAAAUGUUCAAAAAAAAGAGCCAAGAACCGAGCAAACUAAGCCUACUCCUGGCACUGAAGCUACUCCAGAGGCGUAUGCUUCCAGUUCUCAGCCCAAAGAUAAAGAAAAGGCUCCAAUUACUGAAGAAACAACUAAAGAAUAUGAUGAAGAAACUGAAGAGGAAGAUCAAGUGGAUCUUGAGCAGUUUCGUCUGGUUAGGAGAAGGCCUGGAUCAUCCAAGAUCACCAUAUAGGCACUACUAGGCUACUGCACUUCAUGAUUAGGAUAAUAGUUCAUAGUAGAUUUUUGCAUCUUUUGCACUUAAAGAUAUUUGGUGUGUUCUGUCUUAAGAAUUUUACUCCUCUACUGGUUUGUAAAACUAUUUAGUUAUCUUUUAUGUUAAAUGUUGCUUCUGUGGAAUUUUUCCUUGUUUUGGAUGGAUGUUACUUAUUUCAGUUUAUCUGCCAAUAUUUGUUUCUGGUUGAUGUUGUUUUGGUUUUGGUUUUGGAUGGAUGAUGUUACUAUUCUACUGUGUUUUGCUUUAUUGUUUUACUAAAUUCGGUUUGGAUGGUGUUGCUGUGUUUUUUCUUGCUGAUAAUACCUGGUGAUAAUAUUGGUGAAGCCAAUGAUGUAAAAUGAUGACCACAUUAUUGGUAAUAUGGAUAAUUUUACUGGUUGAUUCAAUGAUGACAAAAAGGAUGAGAUAUGGAUAUGUAUAUGUGAGAGGGAGUCAUUUUAAGGGGGAAUGGACAUUAUCUGAGGGGGAGUUGUGAAUACUUUUUGGAUGCAUUAAGUAAGGGUCCUUGGACGCAUUAAGUAAGGGGGAGCUGUACCUAAAACCUUUUUACUCCAUCUAUUGUUUUGUCAUCAUCAAAAAGAGGGAGAUUGUUUAUCUCAGUCCAUAACAUUUGAUGAUUACAAAAUAAAUGGAUGUUACUAAUAUUCUCUGAUUAGACCUUUUCGGAAUUGGAGCAAAAUAGGUUCAAAGGCUAAUAUAUGCUGAAAUAGUUGUCGGACGCACAAAAAAACUGCAUCGGCCGUCUGACAACCAUUGAGUAUCUUCAGACGCAUGAAGAACCCACCCUCAGAUGUCCAAAAAUGAUAAGCCAAGUCCUCUAAGCUUAUUGACCUCGAUCGGACAUACAACACCUGAGUAUCGGACGUCCGACAAACGUUGCGAUACUUCAGACGCAAAACAUUGGAGGCACAGGACGUCCGAAAGAAUUGAAGAAAAAUUUUCAGUUUUACAUCAUUCCUUCAGAUGCAUAUUCUGGAGGUACCGGAGGUCCUCAAUAUUUCAAGAAAAUUUCUUGAACUCAUUGCCUAUGUUCGGAUGCAGAUAACUAACCUACCGGACGUCCGAUACGACUAACGGCUAGUUGACUCUUCAACUGCCUUCUAUCCGUUGGUAGCAUUAAUUGAAAAAUUUUUUAGUCUCUUAUAAAAAGAAAAAAGUCAACCACUUCAGAUAACUUUUGCACAUUGAGACUACACAUCAGAUUUUGAGUGAUUCAAGUGUAAGAAUACUCUUUAAAGAAGAUUUGUACUCUUAGUUGUGUAACUUUCGAUAAGCUUUUCAAGUGUAUUUCUAUUUCUUCAAUAGCGUAGCUUUGUGAGGGUUAUCCGAGUGAUAGUAAAACUUCCUUACUUGACCAAGUGUGGCUUGGGGCGAGGAGGAAGUGAUCCUUCCUUUGUGCACAAGAGAUUGGUUGUAAGUUGAUCAACUUGAAGAAACUUGCUAUAUAAAGUGAUUUUCAAACUCAAGUGGAGUUUGAAACUUGGUUUGCUGUUCUAUUCUUUUACUUACUGUCUUGCAAUAUAAAUUGUCUAUCUCUUCUACUCCUAAGCACUUGUACUUUCUCAUCAAUUGCUCCAUUGUGUGGUCCUUUAAAAAAAGAGGGCAAGUUCUCAAAAAGUGACUUAUAUCUUGGCUAGUUUUUUAAACCACCUAAUUCACCCCCCUCUUAGGUUGUCUUCGAUCCUUAUAGAUAAUCAACCAACUCACAUAUGCACUAUUCAAACCACAUUCGUUUCACUUUUUACAAAUCCCUAAGAGGAUGCCUUCACCUAUUUUAAUUCUAGUUUCCCACAUACGCAUCCAAGCAAUAUCUUGCUUAAUCCAACUAAUAUCCAAAUUUUUUAAAAUUACCCAUAGAUCAAUCCAAAUAUUCCAGUUAAUUCUCAAGAACCUCAACCCCCACCACAGAAUUGUUCAUGUUGGACACUACCUUUCAAGGGAAGACAGGAAUGAAUGAGCACAUUACCCCUAUUGACAAAAAUUUGCUAAAGAGAUUAAAACGAUUUGGUGAGUUCAUGAAUAAAAAUCAAGGAUUGAGCAAGCAUGGAGGCUUGGAUUAUGAUGAGUUGUGUCUCUUUUCUGACGUGCAAAUUUUUUGGGUUUUAAAACUCCAAAAUUUAGUAAAUAUGAUGGAACUGGAAAUCUCAAGAUACAUCUUAAAAUGUUUGCUAACAAACUUGACAAACCCAUGGAUGAUGAAAACUUGCCAGUGUGAUUAUUUCCUAAAAGUUUAGAAGGUGAUAUUCUGGAUUGGUAUUCUAAUUUGAAACUUGAAGAAAUGAAAACUUUGUUGGACCUGUCUAUAGCUUUUGUGAGGCAGUAUGAGUAUAACUACAAGUUUACACCUACGCAAAGAACAAUCGAAAGAAUCAAGAGAAAAUCCUCAAAAGAUCACAAGAUAUAUGUAAAAUGAUGGAGGAAAUUGGCUGCUAAGGUGGAGCCCCUCAUGGUUGAAGGAGAUUGUACGCACAUUUAUUAAAAUCCAUAAUCCGCCAUAUUUCAAAAAGAUCUUUUGCAUGACUGGAAGUUCAUUUGCGAUUAUCGUCAACAAACUUAAAGAAUAUUAUGAGUUUGUGAAAAUAGAGAAGAUUAUUAAUCUGUUGGUUUUAAAAGUGCAGUUGGAUGAGAAACCGCUUUUGUGUGGGAUCAAAGCCCCUUUUUAUAUCAAAAUUUUAAAACCACUCUACAUACUCAUCUCCUUAUUCACACUACUCAAACUCUAGACCUAUUUAUCAUAUUACUAUCAACCUUCUCGUUCUCGACCAAACUACAUGAAUACACCCGUACCGUUAUAAAUUUCUUAAUAUGCCUUACAAAGUCAUUCUCACCCUAUCUACAAUCCAAGACCUAUCCCAGCCCCCUUCCCUCUCCCUCCCGAAAAAUAACCCAACCCAAAAUUAAUUCCAAAUCAAUGGAUAUCAAAUUCAAAAUCAAUUCUAAACCUUCACUAAUUUAGGCCGACCCAUUGAUCAACGGUACUAACAGGUGAAGACUGUUGGUAAGAUUGGAGUUGUACCUCCCAAGAUCUAACUUAGAGAUUUCUCAGGCUAUUUGCAUCUAUCAUUUUGGGAGUUUCGAUCACUCAAUUGCCAAUUGAUGGGUAUUGAAACAUAAAAUUCAAGACAUAAUUGAUGCUGGAGUUAUAGUUUUGAAAAAAAGCAAUGAACAAGGGCUAAACGUCAGUAAAAAUCCUCUUCCCUGAGCAUAAAGGUACUAUUAGAACCAUCACUAUUGAUGAGAAACCUGCUCAAUAUGUUGUGGAUAAGAUUGAGAUAGUUGGGAUAACUGAGAAACAGUUCGUGCUAGAAGAGGAACCCUCUAAAGUUGGGGAUAUUGGAGAACCUUUCAUCAUAGACUUGCUGCCUUUUGAGCCUGUUGUACUUGAGUUUCUAGAAUAACCACCUGUUCAUAAUUUACAAGAAGUGUCGUGAAACUAUAGUAAGCCCACCGUAAUGAUUGGAAAUAAGGAGGUACCGGAAAAAGAGAUGACUGCCGUUAUCAGAUAUAGAAGAGUUGUGGGUGAUUCUUAAAUAUAUACUCAACCAAGGACCAAAAAGGGUAUCCCAUCGCCAAAAGCGCCUGUGACUAAAAAAGAGGCAAUGGAUUCCUUGAAACUGCUAAGAGGAGUGAGUACAAAAUUAUAAAACAGUUGGAUAAAAUACCCGGUCAAAUCUCUAUUUUGGAUCUGCUUUUGAGUUUCAAACCACAUAGAGAGGUAUUGCUUAAGAUCUUGAGUGAAGCACAAGUAUCUAAAAGCAUUUCUGUCAAGAAGUUCUCUCAUGUUAUUGAAAAUGUUCUAGCCUCUAAUCAUAUUGCUUUUUUUGAUAACGAUUUGACUCCGAAAAGGAUCGGACAUAACAGACAUUUGUAUAUAUUAGUACGUUUUAUUGGAAAUUUACUACCCAAGGUCUGCCUGUGAAAUACUUUUACAAAGUUGGGAUUUCUUGAUGCUAGAUUCCGUCCAUAAACAAUUGUUAUAAGAGGAUUUGAUGGUACAGAGGGAAUCUAUGAGUAAGGUUGACUUAGUGCUAGAGAUAGGAUCUACUCGAUUUCAAAUCACUUGCCAAGUUAUUGACUUUUCAAGUAUAUACAAUCUCUUACUUGGAUGACCUUGGAUUUACACCUCUAACUCAGUGCCAUCCUCUCUCCAUUAGAUAUUGAGAUUUGUUGUGAAUGACUAGCUGAUCACUAUGUUCGCUGAAGAUGACUGUACCAUGAUUGUUAAUUCUAACUUGAAAGGGAAGAGUAGUAGAAAAACUUUAGUUUCUCUUCAUCAUGUGAUUAAUAUUGCUUCAAUAUGGUGGAUAUCUAAAGAGAAGCUAUUCGAAUAGUCAAAUCUAUCAAAAGCUAGUGUUAUGAUGGCUAAAGAGAUGAUCUGAGGAAAAUAUGAGAUAGACAAAGGUCUUGGGCGAAGUCUACAAGGAAUCUUGGAACCAAUAGAGCUUUCGGUGCAAAAAGACACAUUUGGGGUUAGGGUUUUAACUGAUCGCUAAAGAUAAAAGGGAGAUGCAAACUUGCAAGAAGGAAGAAAAUGAUGGAAAACAAAUUAUCAUGAGUAUCCCACCAUUAUACUACACUUUUUUUCAUCUGUCGGGGGUAAUCAUAUUUGAGUUAGAGGAGGAAAAUCUGAUCGAUAAGGUUGAGGAGAGUUUGUUUCAAUUGUCCGUUGGAGCUACUUACGAGGAUGAACCGUCGAAGAGUCUGGAGCUCCCAACAAUUCUUGAAGGAGCUACGCAAACUGAACUCCUGACUAUCUUCCCUCUUGAAAGGAAUUUCGAUAAAUUUAAGGAAUUGUCUUUGGUUGAAAUCCGUGUUUAGAUAAAAUUUUAGAUAAGAACUACUUUUAUUUUCAGUUAUUUAUUUCCUUUCAAUAUUAUGUUAAUAUGUAUUUUUUUUAAGUGAGUUCCAUUCCCAUUGCACAGUUCUGGUGGGGAUGUAUUUUUAACUAAUGUUUUGCUUUGCGAAAUAGUUGUCCUUCUUCAGUGUCUAUCUACUCUUUUAAAUUCAACGAAAUGGAAGAUCUCUGUUCAUAUUUGUACUAUUUUCUACUUGUUCAUUGUGCGUGUUUACUUUAUUUUCAUACUAUCAAAAAUAGAACAUUUUGAUCCUUCGGAUAUCACCAUUUUGAAAUUCAAGAAUUGUAAUUUCGAUAUCUCUCAAAAAUUUAAAAUUAUGGAAUCUGAAAUUCAAAAUGAGAGUGAUAGUGAGGAAGAAGCUGAGUCCAUUUUAAAGAUUUUUGAACAAUAUGAAGAGAAACCCAAAUCGAACUUAGAAAAGACAGAAAUCAUUAAUAUUGACACUAAAACAGAGGUUACAGAAAUCAAAAUCAGUAUGUAUUUAAAUAAGAAGCAGAGAUAGUAGAUGAUUAAAUUCUUAACUAUGUUUCAAGAUGUAUUUGCAUGGUCAUAUGAUGAUAUAUCUGAAAUUUCUACAGAUAUAGUGGUCAUAGAUUGUCAACUGAUCCAAAAUUUUCACCAAUCAAGCAGAGGCCUCGCAAAUUUAAACUGGAUAUGAGCCUCAAAAUAAAAGAACAAAUUGAGAAACAAUUUAAUGCUAAAAUUAUCAUAGUCUCUCAUUAUCCCAUUUGGCUUUCAAAUCUAGUACCAGUUCCGAAGAAGAGUGGAGAAAUGCGAGUAUGUGUUGACAAUAGAGAUCUUAACAAGGCCAACCCGAAAGAUGAUUUUUCUUUACCAAAUAUUCAUAUCUUUUUGGGCAAUAACACUGGACAUAAAAUUGAAUUUUGUGGUGACUAUUUCGCUAGAUAUCAUCAGAUUCUAAUGGUAGAAGAAAAUAGAGAGAAAACUGCUUUUAUCACUCCUUGGAGAACAUUUUGUAUCGGGUAAUGCUUUUUAAUUUGAAAAAUAUUGGAGCUACUUAUCAAUGGACCAUGAUCUCCUUAUUUCAUGAUAUGAUUCACAUGGAGAUGGAAGUUUAUGUAGACGAUAUUAUAAUUAAAUCGAAAAAACUAAAGAUCAUCUCAUUGAUUUAAAGAAAUUAUUUGAAAAGUUGAGAAAACAUAACUUGAAGUUAAAUCUUACCAAAUGUGCUUUUAGGGCUCUCACCGAUAAAUUAUUGGAAUUUAUUGUCAGUAAGAAAGGUAUAGAUAUAGAUCCAACAAAGAUCAAAACAAUUCGAGAGAUGCCUAUUCCGAAAACUUAAAAAGAUGUGAAAAGUUUUUUUAGAAAAGAUCAAUUUUAUUGAUAGAUUUAUUACUCAAUUGAUUUUUACAUGUGAGUCUUUGUUCAAGUUAUUAAAAAAGAAUGUACCAAUGCACUAGAAUGAGAAAUGUCAACAGGCUUUUGAUAAAAUCAAUAAUUAUUUGUUGAACCCUCCAAUCUUAGUGCCGCCCAAGUUGGGGCGACCUCUAAUUAUGUAUCCAUCUGUACUUGAUGAGACCAUGAGAUGUGUUUCGGAACAACAUGAUGAUUCUGAAAAGAAGGAACAAGUCAUUUGUUAUUUCAACAAGAAGUUUACACCUUGCGAGACGAAUUACUCUUUUCUCGAGAGAAGUUGUUGUGUUUUAACUUGGGCAAGUCAAAAGUUGAGGUACUAUUUGCUCAAUCACACUACUUAUCUCAUUUUUCGUUUCGAUCCUUUGAAAUAUUUGUUAGAAAAGCAGAUGCCAAUGGAGCAUAUGAUAAAAUGACAGAUAAUUCUCUCUGAAUUUGAUAUUAUUUUCAUAACUCAAAAGGUAAUCAAAGGACAAGUUAUAGCAGAUCACUUGGCUGAGAUUUCGAGAGAAGAUGAUUAUCAACCAAAUGAUUAUCAACCAUUAUACAUCUAUUUUUCUGAUGAAAAGAUCUUAUUUGUUGGUACAUUGAAAGACAUGAAUAAAUAAUAUCCUGAGUGGAUGCUGUUCUUUGAUGGUGUUUUGAAUUCUUUUGGGUUUAGAAUCGGAGCUGCUCUUGUAUCACUUGAGAGAAAGCACUUCCUGCCGCUACGAAGUUGUGAUUUUCUUGCACUAACAAUAUGGCUAAAUAUGAAGUUUGCAUUUUUUAUUUGAAAAUGGCAUUAAAAAUGGAGACCAAGAAUUUAAUAGUGUUCAGUAAUUCUGAUUUACUUGUAUAUGAAAUAUUUAAACAGUGGGUAACUCGAGAUUCAAAAAAUAUGCCAUAUCAUUGUAGUCUGUUCAGUUUGGCUGAUAAGUUUAGAAAUUUAAAAUUCAAGCAUAUUUCUCGCACCCGCAAUGUUGUUGCUGAUGUUUUAGCCACAUUAUCUUCCAUAAUUCGACAUUCAGAUGAGUUGGUAAUUGAUCUUAUACAGAUUCAAUUUUAGAAAAAGGCGGCACAUUGUCUGAUUGUAAAAAAAAUUUCUGAUGGUCGUCUCUGGUAUAGUGAUAUCAAAAAAAACAUAAAAAUGGAUCUUAUCGUCCAGGUGUCGAUUUAACUAUUAAAAGUUUCUUGUGUAGAAUGUUGUCAAAGUUUUCUUGAAUGGAGAAGUGUUGUAUAAGAAAACAUCUGAUUUGGGCCUUCUGAGAUGUAUUGAUGAAUAAGAAACUGAUUACAUGAUGAAAGAAGUGUACAGCGAUGUAUGUGAACCAUAUAUGAAUGGAUGUUUAUUGGCUAAAAAAAUCAUGGGAAUAGGGUACUUUUGACUCACUAUGGAGCAUGACUGUAUAGAUUUUGUCUGAAAAUAUGUCAAAUGUCAAAUGCAUAACGAUGUUAUACGUGCCCCUCUUACAGAACUAUAUAGUAUGACCGUUCCUUGGUCAUGCUCAAUGCAGGAAAUGGACGUGAUUGGAGCUAUUGAUCUAUCUGCUUCAAAUGGACAUCGAUUCAUUCUGGUAACGAUCAAGUAUUUUAUCAAAUGGGUUGAAACACCAUCUUACAAAUAUGUAACAAGAAAGUAGUAGUAGAUUUUUUGAAGAACAAUAUUAUUUGUUAUUUUGGGGUGCCCUAAACGCUGAUCAUUAACAAUGCAAAAAAUCUCAAUAAUGAUAUGGUAUAUGGAUUAUGUGAACAAUUCAAAAUCAAACAUUGAAAUUCUACUAUCUACAGGUCUCAGAAGAAUGGAGCUGUGGAGGCUGCAAACAAAAACCUGACGAAGAUUAUCUGCAAGAUGACUGAAAAAUACCGAACUUGGCAUGAAAAAUUACCUUAUGCAUUAAUGGCAUAUUGGAUCGCAAUCAGGACUUCUAUUGGAGCAGUGCCUUACUCUCUCGUAUAUGGAAUGGAAGUAGUAUUACCAGCAGAUGUUGAGAUCUCAUCCUUGCGCAUUCUGAUGGAAACCCAAUUGGAGGAAGUUGAAUGGAUUAAGCAGUGUCAUGAGCAAUUAUCUCUGAUUGAUGAAAAGCGAUUAAAUGCUAUUUGUCAUAGACAAUGUUAUCAACGGCGAAUGGCUCUGCUUACAACAAGAAAAUCAAACCUCCCCUAUUCGAAAAGGGAGACAAGGUCCUGAAACGAAUUCUUCCAGUUCAAAUGAAGUCAAAAGAAAAUUUGUCCCAAAUUGGCAGGGACCCUUCAUUGUCAAGAAAGUAUUGCCCGAAGUAGCGCUCGUUCUCAUAGAGAUGGAUAGACAAGUUUUCCUUCAACUAAUUAAUUCAAAUAUGUGUAAAAGAUUUUUCAUCUGAUUAUGCAAAUUUUCUUUCGAAACUACUGCAUAUGAUGGAUUAAAAGGCGGACGUCUUCCUUUCCGCUUAAACACUUUAUUCUUAGUUUAUUCUUUUGAACAUCCAGAAUGACCUACUCUUUCGUUUGGCAGCCUCCUGAGGAACACGAACCCCACACUGGGGCAAUUUUUAUUUUUCAUUUGGUUUUCCUGAAAAAAAAGAGAAAAAAGAGAAAAAGAAGAAGAAAAAUGAGAAAAAAAUAUAUACAAAAUAAAGGAAAGAGAGGAGAAAGGCCAGUCAAAGACAAAACUGGGACAAUUUUUUAAUUUUAUUAGCACUAUGCUGGGGCAAAAAUUUUAUGAUCUCAGGAUUACUUUUAAACCCCAUAAAAGAUUUGCUUUCAAAUUUUAAUGUUUCUUAACACCUCAACUAACUCCAUUACAAAAGGUAAAAAUCUCCUAACUUCCGCCUUUUGCAGUAUUUCUAAUAGAAAAAUUUUUAUUCAAAUGGCAAAUUAUAUAAAUACACAUUCAUCAAUUUUGCAAGGGAAGGAUUAUCUCACUGAUCUCAUCAAUCUUGAAACAUAUUUUUAAAUCGAUAGAGGCUGUCAUUAAAGUUAUUUAUUAGGUGAAAACCUGAAAAGGCGCCCUUAAAAUAAAAGAAGAGCAAAAAAAAGAGAGAGAAAGAAAAAUGAGUAGGGGUAAUUUUAGUGAAAACCAAAAAGGGCGUUAGGAUAGGGUUUUGAAGCACAAGAGAGUCAUGAAUGAACAACAGAAGGCUGAUUAUUGAAUAACUGGUGACUAUGUUCAUUUGGGUUUUGCACUAUAGUUCUUUUGGCAACACUAAAUUCCUGGAAGGUGAUAUCAUAAGAAGUUAAAUGUGGCGUUUUCAUCAUCGCAGAUUGGCCAUUCAAAUUUGUAUCCGAUUCAUUUAGAGUUUCUAAGUAAUUUUUCAUAAACUUAAUAAAGAUCAUUUUCUUGUUGAAUAUCAUUUUACUCUAUUUUGUGUCAUCGCAUGAGAAAUAAUGUUGUUUAAAGUUUUAUGUCUUAUAUGUUUCAUUAGAUUUUAUCAAAAGAUAAUCCCCAUAAUUUAUCGUAAAAGGUAGGUAGGCACAGGUAUUUCAUGAUAUACAGUUUGGCUGACAAGUACUAAAAAAUUGAAAAGAUUCUAAACAAGUCACAGAAUAGUCCUAAGCAAGACAGUUUCUCAAUAUCAAAAAAACCCAUGUUUGGCUGACAAGUACUAAAAAAUUGAAAAGAUUCUAAACAAGUCACAAAAUAGUCCUAAGCAAGAUAGUUUCUCGAUAUCAAAAAAACCCAUGCUUACUUGGUUCUCAAGUUUCGAGAAAUCAUACGGUGGUGAUAUUAUAUUUUGUCGCAAUUGUUUCCGCUUUCUUUUGCGGGUUGGAUUACAUGACCAUUAUUUAUUCCUCUUCGAACAAAAAAAUAUAUAUAGCGCUAGUUUUACCGGAACCCAAUCUACAUUUGGAUAAAUUUUUAUAAAGGUAUUAUCAAUUCUAUAAAUUUGCUUAAUAUUUAUUUAGAAAAAUAACAAAAACACUCUCGCAUUUUUCAAAUAAUUGGAACACAUUUUUAUUUCUCCUGUUAUUUUAUUGAAUUCGGGUUUUAUCUCACCAAUUUGUUAUUUUAUUGAAUUCGGGUUUUAUUUAACCAAUCUGUUUUUUAAUUGGAGUCGAGUUUUAUCCCACCAAUCUGAAUUUAAUUGGGUUCAAAUUUUAUCCUACUAAUUUAUUAUUUAAUUGGGUUUGAAUUUUAUCCUACCAAUCUGUAUUUUAAUUGGGAUCGAGUUUUAUCCCACCAAUCUGUUAUUUAAUUGGGUUCGAGUUUUAUCUCAUCAAUCUGUUAUUUAAUUGGGGUCAAGUUUUAUCCCGCCAAUCUGUUAUUUAAUUGAGUUCAUAUUUUAUUCCACUAAUCUGUUAUUUAAUUGAGGUCGAAUUUUAUCCCAACAAUCUAUUAUUUAAUUGGAAUUGAAUUUUAUCCCACCAAUCUAUCAUUUAAUUGGGUUCAGAUUAUAUCCCAUCAAUCUGUUAUUUAAUUGGAUUCGAAUUUUAUUCCACCAAUCUGUUAUUUAUUGGGUUCAAAUUGUAUCCUAUCAAUUUGUUAUUUAUUGGGUUCGAGGUUUAUUGCACCAAUCUAUUGAAUUUUACUAGUUGUUUGGAUUUAGAUUAUAUCCCAUCGAUCGAUCUAGUUUCCAAAUGAUUUUGCAAAAUUUCACUAGUUGUUUGGGAUUGAAUUGGAUCCCGCUGAUCAAUUCAAAUGCUUACUAGUUUCACUGGUUUCAAUCUUGUUUAAAUACUCAUUUUGAUUUUUUUAUUCAGUGGCAGUCGAAAGAGACAAGUAAAUAAUUUGGUGUCUAUAUUUUUGUCUUGAACUUCUUUGAAACUCAGACAAAAAGGGGCAAGUUGUAGAUACCAAAUUUUUCUCACAUUUUUGUUGUCAAAAAAAUGCAUGUCUUUAUUUGUAUUUUUAUUGUUUAAGUAAUCAUUUUCAUUUUUGUGUUAUUUGUAGGAAAAAUGAAGAAAAGAAAGAAAAUGAAAAAUGAAAGUGUAAAAAAAAAAAUUUUUCCCACUGCAUACAUGCGUGCUUCAUCUUCUUCAACGAACAACAGAAAAUGGAUGCGAAGAUAGCGAAUUUUCUAAGGUAAUAAAAUCAAAUUUUUGUUCCUUUUCUUUUCCCCCAAGCAUAGGGGUACAAAAGGCCACCUUAUCCUUGCGAGAAUCAUCAAGAAACCUCUGGAAACAAGGUCAUUAAAUGGCCCAAAAGAAGCUAGCAAAACCGUUUUCAUCCUUCCCAUUGAGAGAAGGGUUUUGAUAGUUUAGGGUCAUUUAAAAAGAAAAAGGUGUUUCUGAGGUUAGGGGGAAAAGAGGGAGAAAACAAAAACAGAAGAAAAAAGAGAGAAAAAUCGAGAAAGAAAGGAAAAUUUUUUUUUCUAUGCAAACUUUUUCCAGAAAAAUGCUGAUCAUUCAACCCUAUUUAGGCUCGAUUUUCUCCUUCAAGACAGCUUCGUUUGAAGAGAUUUUAAUUUUUGCACAGUCUAUGAACUUGGUAGAGCAAGUUUUGUUUAGAAAUCUUUAGCAAAAAAGUUCCAAAAAUCCUUCGAAUGUAGCCCCAAAGUUGCUACUUUGACUUCACUGAUGCACGCUUGAAACUUCAACAAAUUUGCUUCCGUUCGCAUUUCUCUUGUUUUAGUCUGAUACGAAAUUAUCCUCAGGUAUUUCUUCAACCUUUCCCUAUUUGAUUCGACAUUCAUGCAAGGGGUUUGAACAUGUUCAUGAGAGAGUUCAUGUUCAAGGAGCUUAGAUCGUCAUUUUGCACGAUUAUUUAAUCUUUCGGACAUUGUUUGAUGUAUGUUUGAGUCCAUGAGUUUCAUGUCUAUGAAAAGAUCCGAUCAAGAGUUUAAAGAAAAGGGGUCCGGCGAGAUUCCGAUCAACUUGGCCGGAAUUUCUCCAGUUUUUGGCUCGGUCAAUUCGCUGGAAACUUCAUGCCCGCGGAAAAUUUCUUGAUGAUUUUCUCUUCAUUUACGCUCAUAUUAUUUUUGUUUUGUUUUAUUAUGUUAGAUCCAUUUGGGUUGUAAAUGUUUAAUGAAACAUGUUUAUAGACUAAAAAAGUGGGCCAAGAAUUUAUUUCAUGCUGGGUUUGUGCAUGGGUUUUGGAGGUUCAAACCCUACGUUUUUAUUAGACUUAGUUUAGUAAAAAUAAGUGAGUUGAUCCUUUUUUUUAGCAGAAAUAAUCCGGUUAUUUUACCUUGGGCCGAGGGGUUUAUGGUCCAAAAAAAUAAAAAUAGAAACAGCCCAAUGUCAUUUUUUGGGUGAAAUCAGAAAUGAGUUUGCAAUUUGACCCUAAUUUUCUGAGUAUUUUUAUUGUGACCCUAAAACUUUUAAUUUCUUUCAUUCAGGUCCUUAAUUUAAUUGCAUUUUGGUCCCUAAAUUUUAUUUUCUAUUCAAUUUUGACCCCUAUUUUUGUAAACAUUAUAAUUUGAUCCUAAAAACUUCUCAAAUUUUGUAAUUUGGUCCCUAAUCUUUAUUAUUUCUUAAUUACAAUUGUUUAUUUUCUUUAAAUUGUUAAUCAUGCUUCAUUUAAAUGCAUCUAAUUUAUAAAUUUUAAGAAUUUUAUAUUUAUUCAUAUUUUUUUAAAAUAAUAAAUUGAAUUUGCUAUAUAUUUACAUUUACUUUUAAAUUGUUAAUUAAAUUGGUGUAUUGACCAUUUUGUUGAUUUUGGAGUACAAAUAGGGCAAAUUCUACCUCAUUUAACUACUAUUUCAAGGGAUGUACCCUCUAUUAUUUUUAAUCCCCUUUUUUUGUGUUCUAUAUGUUUUUAUGGUUGAUUUUAUGUUUUAAGUACUUUUUCUUUUAUUUACUCAUUUUAUUCAUUUUAAACUUCCAUUUAUUUAAUUUUGAUGUUGAUUUGGAAGGCAUUUAAAUGUCAAAUUGUAAUAGAUAGGUUGUCCCGUUUUACUCAAGAAAAAUAUAUUUAGAUAAACAAAUGUAAUAGAUAGGUUUAUUAUUUCCAAAAAUUUCCCUUCUAGAUUGUAGUUAGAGCUUCUAAUGUAAUACUUAGUUUUUAUUUCCUUGCAUACUUGUGUAAUUAUGUGUUUAUUCGCUUUCUCUAGAGUUUUGCAUAUAGAUAUUAUACUUAUGUGCUAUGUUCUCUACAUGCUCUAUAUGCUUUAUGUGUUUAUUCGCUUUAAUUAUAUUUUAUAUACUUUAUUUAUUUAUAAUGAGUGCAUGACGUCACCACACUAGUCCAAUAUUAAUUGUGGUAUUUUUUCCCGAUUUCUCACUAGUCCAAAGUUGGUAAGGACUUGUAAAAAUGGGUUAGUUCAAUGCUAGACCCUUUAGGUCAUUUUUGCACUAGAUUCAUACCUUGUGUGACAUUUAUUACAUCUCAUAUAUCUUUUUUUUUCUAUUUUUAGGUUAUUUUCAUUUACAUGAUAUUUUCUCUACUAUUAUUCCCUUAUCAUCAAUAUGUUUGAACCAUAUCAUUUAGAAUUGCAAUUUAUUUAGAUAAUUAGGAAACAGUUUAGUCCAUUUGCCUGUCUAAAUUAGAAGAGUCACUAUUUGAAUAUGGGAAAUGAACGAGUAUGUGAGAGCCCGUAAUUUUCCAUUUUAGGGUUUUAUUAUAUUCAAUGGCUUGUUUUCUGCACUUUCUGUAUCCGGAAAAUUUUCUAGAUAAUUUUUAUGAGCAGAUAUAGUUUUUAGAUGAUUUUUCUAAUAUCGAAUAGUUUUUGAAAAAUUAAGAGCAUAUACCGGACGUGGGACCCACUAGUGCGAAAAGUUCGGAAAAAUUCGGCCAACCAGGUUAAGUUUUGGAUACUGGAAUUAAUUUACCGGGUGUUAAGAGAUAAGUAGAGGAUGCUAAGUGGAUUGGUAUAAGAGAGACAAAAGUUAGGCAAGCAUUAAUGAAAGUGACAAGUGUCACCUUAUGAGUGGAGGUUGCUUUAUGACUACUAUUCAUGUUCUUACCAUUGACCAAAUAAAUCAAAAAAAUACCAAAAAUUCACCAUUUUUCUCUUCCUCUUGGCCGAGCUCUUCAAGCAACAAAAGAAAGAAAAGUCUUCAAGUUUUUUGCUUCAAUCUUGCUUCAAUCAACUCACUCAACCAUCCAAUCUUAUUUUUGCUCCAUAGAAAACAUUAAGGGAGUGAUAGUGAGGUGUUGUGUGGAGUUAUUUGGAAAGCUAAGAGGACUAGUUGCUCUCUCUCUCUUGUUUCUAAGGUGAGUUGUGAAGAACCCCUCUCCUCCCUCUAAUGAUGCUUAAUUUAUGCUUAGUGGUGGAAUAAGAUGCAACUUUAUGGAUUAUAUUGUGAUUUUUGGUUGAAUUGAUGAAGUUUUAUAAUUAUUGGGGAUUUUUCUGUUUUAAUAUGAAUAUGAUUGUGUGGCUAUGUAUGAUGAUUGGAAAUGGUAUGUAAGGGAUAUAGGAGGUGGAAAAAGUGGAUAAUCACAAGCAAUUUUUGUUUUAGAAGAAAAUUGAAAAAAUUAGGGUUUGAUGUUCUUCAUUCUGCCUGGUACUGUAGCUCAUAUCUAGGGGCCGAAUUAGCCUUGGGUUAAAACAUGAAAGUUGUAGAAAAUGAUAUUUUAGAGGUACCUGAAAAAUUUCAGGUCAAUCGGAGUAGCGUAACUUGAGAAAAGUCGAAAUUACCCUUGCUGUCCUGGUUUUACCCGAAUUUGGGAAUUGCUUCUGUAAUUGGUUAUUUUGGUUAGGAAUGCUUCCGAAUUGGUUGUUGAGGUCUUCUGAUGAAAUGUAUCCCUGUUUCUUAGCUUUCAGAUGGGUUUGGAAUUUCUGGAUUUGGACUUAUGUAGGCUGUUUUAUGAUGUUUGCACUAGAAUGCGUUCUGUAAAUCUGUUUUUGCGGUUCUGGUAUAGUAGAUUACAUUUUUAACCUGGUUACACUCGAAACUGGGUUGAGUGACCUUCUGUAAUAUUGUAGCCCUAUCUCUUAGCUUCGAAACGGUGGGUCUUGGACCUUCAUCCGAUAAUCGUAGUGCCUUUGGUGCCAUUACCGCAAAAUGAGGUCAAAAACUAUUUUUUUCAGGGCUAAAGCUAAUUCCAUUUUCGGAUUUUCUGGUUUCCCCUAAUGCUUGUAUAUGCUUAUGGAACCCUAUUGGGGUCAUGUUUGGCAUUGGUUUAUGACUCGUUAUCGAGUCUCAUUGUACUUGUUUGCAUGUUUUAGGGCAUGACGGUGGUUCACGACGUUCUUUUGACGGAAGUGCAUGAAACACCAUUUGCAAGCUUGGUGAGUGUACUACUCACUUGUGUGUUACUAUAUGGCUUUGAUACUUGAAUUUGAUGAGUUAAAUGUUAUUGCACCAUCGAUAUUGAUUGAAGUGAGGGUGUACUUUAUCACUCUCACUUAUUUCUCAUGUUAGUGGAAUGUUACAUGGAAUGUUACAUGAAAUGAAAAGUACUUGACUUGGUGUCGAUUGGACGAGUAUCCAACGACCAUGAUUGUUACCAUUGAGCUCAACCCCAUUGGUAAUUGAUUGAAUCGAGCCGGCGAGGGUUUGGUCGUGCCAAUUAAUGAACCUUGGGGACUGUUAUAAGGAAUCUUGUAGUAUGAGAGACUCUCGAUUCCGGUAUACUCGAGUAAUACCACAGUGCAAGUGUUUGGAGUUCGGGCCCGGUAGGGGUAUGUUGGGUGGAAGGAAUGGAAGUAAAGUGGAGUCUACGGUUGGUUACUCUUAAAUAUUGACGGAGGGUCAAUGAGCUUCGAUCAAGAAUGCAAACGAGGAAAAGGGCUCUUGAGAGCCGCCCGUAUCCUUUUAUCACCACCAUUAAUGUGUGCCUUUGUUUACUUUUGAUGUAUUGAAAUGAAAAGCUUGAUGCUUAUAUGAACUUGGUUGCUUGAGUAGUAUUAUCUCACUGGGCAAUUAGCUCACUCUAUUCCUUUUGUUUUCCUUACAGGAAAAUAAAUACUUUUGGACUGCAAUUGAUAAUUGAUUGCCGAAAUGAGCUAGUUGGACAUAUCUUUUGUUUAGCUCAUUUAUUGAAACCCUAAAUGUACUUUUGGGACCGUUUCUCUUUUGAUUUGGCAAACCAGACAUGUAUCCACUUUUGAAUACUUUUGUAUGCCACUUUGGCUUGUAAAUGCUAAGUUUCAAGAUGUGAAUGCUUGCUUGAUAUUUGGUUGGGUUCUGACGGGUCGGUUACUAUUCAUGGCCGACUCCGGUUUCAAUUUUUUUAUUUUGCCCUUUUGACUUGUUUACGCGCGUUUGUAUGUCCCGAAACGUUUUAGUCCCGAAACUGAACCGUUAGUCCUGACGAGAGCUGGGCAGGCAGUCCGCUAACCCCUUUGGUUCGUCUUAGGGGAAAGUGGGGCUGUCACAGAGUAUGCUUUCUUAACCUUAGCACGCUCUUAUCUCCUCUAUAAGAAAGAAAAUUGAGUCACGAAUUUUAGUCUCCCGUACCUAUUAUGUUGCAUCCCUCUUUUUCUCUAGGUCAUGUAUAUAUCAUAAUUUUCUUUUUUGGAUCCAUCUAUUACAUGUUCAUGACCUCUUCAAGAGAUCAUUCUUGGUCUUCACAAUUCAUGUGAUCUGUACCAAUGAAGUCUUAAAGAGACAUUUCGCUCCCCUCGAUACCCCUUAGAUCUAAGUUUGCAUUCAUAUAAAAGCAUCCAAAUGUGAUAAGUCUUAUAAGUUACAUUAGGAAAAUUAUUGAUUAAAUCUCACAACUAGUCUUAAUUAGGUUGAAAAGGUACCUUAGAUUUGAAUCAAUCAAAUCUUUACCUUCUCUUUUUAUAAUCCUGACUCUCGAAAAAUAUAUUUUCUAAUAACACUCUACUUUUUUCUAAAAAAUCCUUUUUAGGCUAUUAUUUUGGGUCCAAACCGUCGCACUUCUAUGUCCCAUUUUACACCCUUUUUCUUUAAAAUCAAAUAACUCAUUUUUCUACAUUUUCUCUUCUAUUUUAAAAAAAUGGGGCACGACAACAGUCCGUCUACAAUCACUUGGGGUGAUAAGUGUGUGCGUAUAUAUAUAUUUGAAAGCAGCAUUUGGGUUGAUGAGAUUAUAGCAUUGCAUCUAUUAGCUAGAUUUUUAUCCUAUUUUUAUAAAGAUUUUCAACUUCAUCAUUGUUGAAAAAAAAACUUCAUUGAUGUUAGAUUUUAUCUUAUUUUUUAAUAGAACUCAAAAUAUAUGAGUUCUUUUUACCUCAAAUUUAUAUAUUUUCAAAACAAAAACCUAAAAACUAGUCUGUCAAACAAUUAAAAAAAAAGGACUUCUAAUUUGACCAUUAGUCCAAGUUUAGAUACAUUGGCUAUAGUUAUGUAACCGGGCCCAAGUAACCAUUGUGACGUAAAAAUGCGUUCGUUCUCAUUACCUACAUUUUUCCAAUUUUUGGCAAUCUUAACUAGGGUUGCAAACGAGCCGAGUCGAGUCGAACUUUGGCUUAAUCGAGCCGAGUCUUAACUUAAUUUCAUCGAGCUCGAACUCGACGAGCUGACAAUUUCAAACUCAAGCUCGAGCUCGAAAAAAAUAAAAAAUAAUUAUUUUAUAUUUUAAAAAAUAAAUAAAAAAAUAUUUUUUUCUUAAUAAAUAAUAAAAUAUUAAGGAUAUAUAUGUAAUUUUACUAUUAAAAUUAAAAAUAUAAAAAUAUAUAUAUACUUAAAAUAAAAAUAUAUAUAUACUUAAAAUAAUAUAUAUAUAUAUAUAUAUAUAUAUACUCGAGCUCGCGAGUAACGAGCUUAAUAUUUUGAACUUGAGUUCGAGCUCGAUUUCGACUCGAGUCAGCUCGAACUCGACUCGAGCUCGAUAUUGAUCGAGCUUGACUCGAGCCGCUGGCGAGCGGCUCGAUUCGUUUGCAGCUCUAAUCUUAACGUUUCUGGUGAAUAUGUAUUCAAUACACUGAAAACACACCAAAACUUCAAAAAAAAAAAGAAAAAAAUGUAUGAAAGCUACUAGAUCUAAACUAUUUAUCCCAUCUAUAGCGUCUUUACCUUAUAUUUUUCGGUUUAAGUAUCGAGGAGAAUAACAAAAAGUUAAGCCUUUCUUUUUUCUUUUUUUAUUCUUUUUUCCAUUUUGCGGUAAGAAGCAAAGAGAAUUCAUUUUCCAGUCUCCGAAGUAGCCGAGGAUGGGAAUUUAAACUGGAUACCUUGACUUUAGAUGGAAAUUUGCAAGAAAGAUCAGGUUCGAUGGAAAAGUAGUGUUGGAUUUUUGACCAACGAAAAAUGAUUGCAUCUGAAUUUGUAGAAAUUGGACUGCUAGAAGAAGUGAUUAGAGCCACUUUUUUGUUGGGCAAAACUGUCAACUUCAACACAAACAUCUUCAUGAAAUGGCACAAUUGAUGAAUUCAUUUGUAACUGAUUUCCAGCAAUGUCACUGGAUUAGGAAAUUUCAGCUACAAACUACUUCAACAGCAAGUCUUUUUGCCCUUCCAGGACACAAUCCGGUGUUAAAAUUUCCUUUCCCGACUUCCAAAACACAGUCGUU